AGUUGCCAAAAAUAAUUAUUCUAUUAGCUACAAUUUAAUACUUUAACCAUCGCAUUUGAACUAAGCAUUACAAUAUAUAAAUAAAAUAAGCUAUAGCAACACUUAUUUUAUGCCCUCCAUUUUAACAUGAAUUUUUAUUAAGUCCGCCACAAAAAAAUUUUUAAUAAAACUUUUUUAUAGCUUAAACCUACUCCACUCUAAAUCAUUCGCAAAAUCUAUAAUUCUGUGAGUUUCAAUCAACGGCUGGCAUCACUAAAUUUGUGGACUUUCAAUGGACGGCCGGCAUCGGUAAAUUUGUGGAACCAUAAGUGGAACCGUAGCUCUGCCCUACUUCAAAAUUUAACCUCUUUCCGCAAUACCUUCGUCCUUUGUAUUUAUAGAACGAACUUACAAAUUUACAUCUCUGUUUUUGUCUAAAGAGUAAUGAAAAUUAAAGAAGUGGGGCCUAUCCCCAUCUACUUUUCCUAAAAUUUCUAAGUAGUUACGUAAAGUAAAGUCUUACAUACAAUUGCUAAAACUAAGAAAGAAAAAAGUCAAUAAUAAUGGCUUACAUUUAUAUUUUUCCUAUGUAAAAGUCUAACAAAUUAAUUAAUGUACAGUAUCUUGUCUCCGUUGAUUUUUGUCGUAUCUGCUCCAUUAUUUGCUCUGUAUCUGCUCUAUUAUUGCUCUGUAUCUGCUCCAUUAUUGCUCUGUAUCUUUAUCCUUCCAGCUGUCAUUUAUUCUAGAUGUACCUCUGGAAUAAUAUUAUCUUCUCCAUUGCACCUCGAACAUUGGUGGUCUGGAUAUUUAUGUCCAAUUAUCUUACAGUAUCUCGUUAGUAGUCCGUCUGAAAUAAAUCCCUUUUUUAUUGCUCGUGCGGUAGAUUGUUUUUCUGGGUUAAGUAGUGUCAAUAUCCACUGUCUUACGUCUUCCAUAUCUGCUUGUCUUAGUUCUUUCGAAUUUGAAUAUAUCAUUUGGUGGUCUCUUGAAUAGUAGCUCCAUAUUGGAUUUCCGUUAGCGUAGUUAUUUGCUAGUUCUUGUAUGAUCGUAGCUAGUCCAAUAAGUCUUUUAUUUGCGUAAAAAUCUGGUAUCUCUAUUCUAGGUAUCUCCGGUUGUCGCGAUAUAUCUUCCGGUAUAAUCAUGUCUCUUGUCAGUCCUAUCUUUACAACUUGUAUCACUGGUUUUAUCUCAUCAUAUAAUAUCUCUGCUGGUGCAGUAUAACAUUUUAUAUAAAAUAAAGUUCCUUUUGUUAUUCUUUUAUAGGUAGUAAAUAUCUUAUAUAACUCCUCCAUGGCUGUUAGCUCUUCUCCGUCUUGGGUGUAUAUGGUAUUUAAUAAUCCAUAGUCAAAACAAGUUUUGACUAGGCUUGGGUUAGUUUUGGGUAGUGCUAUCAGUUUAUUGUAUCCUUGUAGUUUUUGGGUUAUAUAAUUGGUAUUUGGUUCUUGGAUAUUUGUAGCUCUGGGGUUAUGGUUUAGAAAGGUUUGGACUCUAUAUAUAUUUUCUAUGUAUUUUUGGGCUGUGUAGUUGUAUAUUUUCUUGUCUUGGUUUAGGCUGUCUCGGUAUGUAUUAACUUGUGGGGGUAUGAAUAAAUGGUCUUUUUGUGUUUUAGGGGUAAAUGGUUUUUCGAAUAUUUUAUUCAUAUUUGCAUUUUGGUAUCUUGGCUUAUUAACUCCUUUGCUUGUACCUGCAGAAGUAGAUUGAUAAAUGUUAUGGGUUUUAUGGAGUGUCCCAACGUCUCCUUCUAGCUCUGGAUUUUUAAUGUCUNNNNNNNNNNNNNNNNNNNNNNNNNNNNNNNNNNNNNNNNNNNNNNNNNNNNNNNNNNNNNNNNNNNNNNNNNNNNNNNNNNNNNNNNNNNNNNNNNNNNNNNNNNNNNNNNNNNNNNNNNNNNNNNNNNNNNNNNNNNNNNNNNNNNNNNNNNNNNNNNNNNNNNNNNNNNNNNNNNNNNNNNNNNNNNNNNNNNNNNNNNNNNNNNNNNNNNNNNNNNNNNNNNNNNNNNNNNNNNNNNNNNNNNNNNNNNNNNNNNNNNNNNNNNNNNNNNNNNNNNNNNNNNNNNNNNNNNNNNNNNNNNNNNNNNNNNNNNNNNNNNNNNNNNNNNNNNNNNNNNNNNNNNNNNNNNNNNNNNNNNNNNNNNNNNNNNNNNNNNNNNNNNNNNNNNNNNNNNNNNNNNNNNNNNNNNNNNNNNNNNNNNNNNNNNNNNNNNNNNNNNNNNNNNNNNNNNNNNNNNNNNNNNNNNNNNNNNNNNNNNNNNNNNNNNNNNNNNNNNNNNNNNNNNNNNNNNNNNNNNNNNNNNNNNNNNNNNNNNNNNNNNNNNNNNNNNNNNNNNNNNNNNNNNNNNNNNNNNNNNNNNNNNNNNNNNNNNNNNNNNNNNNNNNNNNNNNNNNNNNNNNNNNNNNNNNNNNNNNNNNNNNNNNNNNNNNNNNNNNNNNNNNNNNNNNNNNNNNNNNNNNNNNNNNNNNNNNNNNNNNNNNNNNNNNNNNNNNNNNNNNNNNNNNNNNNNNNNNNNNNNNNNNNNNNNNNNNNNNNNNNNNNNNNNNNNNNNNNNNNNNNNNNNNNNNNNNNNNNNNNNNNNNNNNNNNNNNNNNNNNNNNNNNNNNNNNNNNNNNNNNNNNNNNNNNNNNNNNNNNNNNNNNNNNNNNNNNNNNNNNNNNNNNNNNNNNNNNNNNNNNNNNNNNNNNNNNNNNNNNNNNNNNNNNNNNNNNNNNNNNNNNNNNNNNNNNNNNNNNNNNNNNNNNNNNNNNNNNNNNNNNNNNNNNNNNNNNNNNNNNNNNNNNNNNNNNNNNNNNNNNNNNNNNNNNNNNNNNNNNNNNNNNNNNNNNNNNNNNNNNNNNNNNNNNNNNNNNNNNNNNNNNNNNNNNNNNNNNNNNNNNNNNNNNNNNNNNNNNNNNNNNNNNNNNNNNNNNNNNNNNNNNNNNNNNNNNNNNNNNNNNNNNNNNNNNNNNNNNNNNNNNNNNNNNNNNNNNNNNNNNNNNNNNNNNNNNNNNNNNNNNNNNNNNNNNNNNNNNNNNNNNNNNNNNNNNNNNNNNNNNNNNNNNNNNNNNNNNNNNNNNNNNNNNNNNNNNNNNNNNNNNNNNNNNNNNNNNNNNNNNNNNNNNNNNNNNNNNNNNNNNNNNNNNNNNNNNNNNNNNNNNNNNNNNNNNNNNNNNNNNNNNNNNNNNNNNNNNNNNNNNNNNNNNNNNNNNNNNNNNNNNNNNNNNNNNNNNNNNNNNNNNNNNNNNNNNNNNNNNNNNNNNNNNNNNNNNNNNNNNNNNNNNNNNNNNNNNNNNNNNNNNNNNNNNNNNNNNNNNNNNNNNNNNNNNNNNNNNNNNNNNNNNNNNNNNNNNNNNNNNNNNNNNNNNAUUGAAAAUAUAGUUAUUUCUGUUUUAUUUAUCGAAAAUACUACUAAUUCUAUUGUAUCUUCAGUAUUUUUUAUAUUUUCUAAUUUUUGUGUAAUUUUUUCACUUCCUUUUAUCCAAUCAGUUUUCUUUCUUAUUUUAUUAUUAACUCUUUUUGCUCUUACUUUUUGUUUGCAUGGUGUUGUAAACCACCAGUCUGUUUUAGUUAUUAUAUGUGGGUAUAAUUUAUCUAAAAAUGGCAUUCCUAGCUUUAUAAGUAAUUAAGCUUCCUUCAUUAUUAAAUCCUUUAACUAUUAUUGGUGUUUUUAGUUUAUCCCAUUUGCUUUCUGGUAAGCAAUUAUAUCUACAUAAAUUAGCUUCUGCUCCUGUAUCUAUCAUAGGCGUAUAAUAUCUACUGUAAUAUCCUUCUACUACUAUCUUCAUUAAUACAUGUAUCUUCAUUUCAUGUUAAGGCUCUUUUUAAGAAUAACUUUUCUUUGUUAUAUGUUAAGGUUAAUUGUGUAUGUUCUAUAUUAUAUGGUUUUACUUGUUCCAACCGCUUUCUUCAUUCAUAGGAGUUGUAAGUUAUGGUUCCCUGAAUUUAUAAGGAAAUUUUUCUUUACUAGAUUGGUAAUACUCAAACCAUCUGGUCCCUUUAUAGAGAGAAAAAUGAUGCUUCUAAGCUUGUCGAGAAAAAGAAUUGUUAAGAACUUCACUCACUAGUUAAUUAGUCAAAAUAGUACUAUAAGCCAACUAUUCCAGGCAGAAGUUUAGAAUUAGAAUAUCUUCUCUCUGAAUAGUUUAUCAAAGAGGAACGGAAAAGAAUAAGUAACACAAAUAGAAUGUCCUUCUGAUUCUUGUGAAAGUAACUAGAUUUGUUUGUGUUUGCUGAUUCUAUAUGUGGGACUUAACUUUGCAUUUUAUGAAUCUCUAAAAGACUGGUUGGUCAAAACAAAACCACUUGGUCUAGUUGAUGACUCUACUGAGCUUGCUGUUGUUACAAGGCUAGCAUGUGGGGCUGUGGCAGGGGCUGUGGGGCAAACUAUUGCUUACCCUCUUGACGUUGUACGCAGAAGGAUGUAGAUGGUAGGUUAGAAAGAUCCUGCAUCCAUCAUUACCGGUGAUGGAAAGAGUAAGGCUUCCGUUGAAUAUUCUUGAAUGAUUGAUACUUUUAGGAAAACCGUUAGGUAUGAGGGAUUCAGGGCCAUGUACAAGGGUUUGGUACCUAAUUCGGUAAAAGUUAGUCUUGUUUCCAUACCUUGCACCUUUAUGUGUUGUAACUUUGAUUGAAGUUUAUUUGUUUCUCUUAUUUAUGCACAUAAAAUUAGCAUCCCUUUUGUGGAAACUUUGUUUAAAUAAGAAACUUUUGCCCUUGGGUUGACAUCAUUCUUCAUUACUAUGCUCUACAGGGUAGAUAGCAUCCAGUUUUACUUAUCCAAACCUCUAAUCCACUUUUUCAUAAACAAAUCCUUUUGUAUUAUGCAACUUCUAUUUAACGUAGUACAUAUCACUAUCUCUAAAGAGGUAGAGAGACCAUUUUUGAUAGCCCGACUCAAGACAAAUAACUCAAUUUGCUCUACCUAUGUAUACUAAUUAAUAAUGUAUUACUAUGACAGCUAACUAGCUAACUAUCCUGUUUGCAUUAUAACAUCAGUGGCAUCUUAAUGUAAUGUAACAAGUACUCUUAGUCCCCAAAUCUCAUUGGUUGAGGCUCAAGUUCCUUUUCAUUGAAACUCUUGGUUGCAGUAUUAUUUGGUCUACACGUACCAGUACUGAUAACAUUUUGAUACACAAGUAUGUAUAUAUCAAUUGGUACAGGAAGAUCCAUAAAAUAAAACUAAGACUUAAUCACAAGUCUCUUAAUUAUGCAUCGUCAAAGCUAGCAAAAUCACGAUGCAUAUUGAGAAACAGUAUGAUCUUCUCUAAUUUACCAUUCACUUAAAAUUGACUUACAACUCAUGAUCAACUCUUCCAUAUCAUUUUGGUGUAUGCACCCCUGAAUCUGCCCCUAUAGGAUGUUAUAAGCUCAUUGCGCAAACUUUAACCUACAGUAAGUUGGUCGUUGUAUGGAAGAAAUCAAAACUACAAUAGGAUAGCGCAAUCGUCUUUUAACAACUGAUUUGUUAUAACCUACUGUAUGUUUUUUGUAUGUUGCUUGUUAUAAGCUAUUUUUUUUAUGGGAUUUUCUUAUAUUUAAGUGCUAAUUUAUAUUAUUUUAUUCUCUUUUUAUAGGUGUCCAAAAUGAAGAAAGAGAUGAAGAAAGUGAUGAAGACAUUGACCUUACUUGAGAAGAUUUUUGGGUUGUGGAUAAAUGCUCUAAUAUCAAUAGUUUUGUGUUGACUUUCUUGAAACUUAUCGUAACCCAAACUUUCUAGUAUGUAUAAACUUAACCAAUCAUUUGAACUUGAUUACAUUUUUAUUUUGGGUUUAAAUUGCUAGCUUGAUGCAUAUUUUGAAUUAUGAGAUUAUUAAUGAAUGAUUUUGUUUUGUGAUGUGUAUAUAAAGUGUUAUAAUUUAUUAUGUAUUUAAAUAAAAAUAUACAUUAAUAUGAAUGCCUAUUUAUAUAAAUCAUUUCAAUUUAACAACAUGUUGCUAUAAUUGUUGCAAUAGAUCAAUAAACCAUUCCAAUAGGUAGUCAAAAAGCAUUGCAAUAGAAUAACAAAAGCGUCGCAAUAGAUGCUAUUCCAAUGACUUAAUCUCGUCGUAAUAGAUGUUAAUGCAAUGUUAAUAACAUUACAAAAGAAUCUAUUGCAACGGUUUAAUGUCAUUGCAAUAGAAUCUAUUGCAACGGUUAGUAACCAUUGCAAUAGAUGAAAAAAGGUGUCUCAAUAAGUCAAAAAAUAACCGUCGUCAUAGGUCAAGCUAUAGUGAUAGUUUUCUGACCUAUGGCGAUGGUUCAGACAAACAUCGCAUAAACCAUUUCCAUAGACCUAUCGCAAUGCCCACUAAUAGGACGCUUGCUAAACCAUUGUGGUAGAGCUAUAGCAACAGUUUUUUCAUCUAUUGCAAUGGUUUUGCAACCAUCACCAUAAGGGUAAUUUCUAGUAGUGUAUGGUGUGAAGAAUUGAGGUAUUGUACAUGAAUUUCCUAUUUGAACAGCCAGCUAACUAUAAGUUAAGCCUUGUGAGAGAAUUCUACGCCAAUUGGGACCCAAAAAAAGAUGAUGAGAUUGUGGUACGGGGUCGUGUGAUCACUUUUAACGCUAAUACUGUGAAUGAGCUGCUAGGUAUACCCGUUGUGGAAGCAGAGCCAUUGAAAAGAUUUAUUAUUAAGAUACCAUAUCAUCAUAUCCGUCAUUUCUUAUGUGACACUCAUUUGACAGCUAGGUGGAUUCGCCACAAAUAGGGUGGUACUCAUGUGUCCAUUCCUUUUUCUUAUAUGAACAGGGAGGCUCAUUUAUGGAUAAAAUCAUCUAUGAUUUCCUAGAUCAUCGUACUCAUAUGACGGAGGUGAAUUGUGACAGGGUUUGUAUCAUCUAUGCUCUUAUAUGUGAAGAUGUGGAGUUGAAUGUUGACACUAUUUUUUUUCUUUGAUGAGGAAAGCCAUAUUUUUUGGGGGCCGUCAAUAUAGUUUUUGGUGGGAUGUUGUCUAGAUUUCUGAGGCAACAGGGUAUGCUCAAGGAGGAGGUUGAUUAUAGACCACCGGUAGGUGUCAGACCAUUGGAUUUUUCCUGUACUAAGGGACCUGCUCCUAAUGGUCUCAAUUUGACUAUGCUCAAGCGUCAAGAUAGGAAUGAAAUAAUCACAGCUCAGAUAUAUGGGCUUAUUAUGUUGAAGCUGAAGAUUGGGGACGUCCAGACACCCAACAGGAGAUUCGUGUUGUCAAGUUGGACUACCCACUAGGACCUAAUGCUUAGACUAUGCUGUGAAUUGGCCCAUAUUUUGAUAAAUCAUUGGAUGAUGAUAUCCCCAUGGAUGAGGUGAGACACAUGGGUUAUUCUGAUGAUGAAUCCAUGGAUGAAGAGCAGAUGGAUGAUGGAGAUUCAGGUGAUGACUUUGGUCAUGAUGAAGGUGCCGAUGAUGAUGUUAUGGCAUUAGUAUCAUUCGAAUGAACAGGGAGUACGAUACCACCCUGCCUUAUGCUUAUUUCUAGCACAGGGAUAGUGCUACGUUUAAGUGUGGGGUGGUUGAUCUUUUAUCUUCAUCUUCAAUUUCUGAAUUAUUUUUGGGUUUUGGUUGAACAAUUUCUAUUUCUGUUAUGUUUUUAUGUUUUGUUGGGUUGUAAGCUGACAGUGUGAAUUAUUGCCCUCUUUGGCAAAUUUAUCUUAAAGUGUUCUAGUUUAAAUUGUUUGUUUUAUUUAUUUUCACCCUUCAUGGUAAUUUUUAGUCUACAGUAAUUAUUUGUGCCCUUCUUGGUAAUUCUCAUUUUUACAUCAUUAUAGUUAGUUGCCUUUCCCUAUGAUAAAUGGAUGAUGACCUUCUUAUGGGGAGUGCUCUUUCCAAGCUGAAAAAAUGAUAAGACCCCGAUUGUGACCAUUGAAAAAUGUUGUGUGUUGGGCAAGAUUUUUUUUGUGUGAUUACAAAUAUAAUUGCUUCGAAACAAAAGACUAAGUGUGUUUAGAUGUUAAAUCCCAACAAGUGUAGUUUGAUUUUAUUUGCUUAACGUUGAAUUUGAUAAAGAGCAAUAUCGAGAACCUAAGGAUCGAACUUGAUUCUUAGCAUGCACCGAGUGAGUGAGUAUUUGUCUAUAGUCUAUAUGUAUAGGAAUGUCCACAACUUGUCCGGUAUAUUUACAAAGCAAAAUAAAGGGUUUUAGGUGUAGGAAGUAAUUUAGGCAUUUCUUUGUUAACCGAAAUGUAAAGACUUUAUUUCCCUACCCUUAUGCAUGUCCUUAGUUAGCCCCGUUGAGCCUAUAGCCUAAUUUAUUUGGUAGUAUUAUCCAUAGCCUAAUCCUUUCUUUGAUAGACCUUAAUUUGAUCCAUAACUCCUAAGCACUUUAAUAUGGAUAACUGAAUAAGAAGGGAGUGUGAAAUAUAAGAAGGAGAAAGGUAAAAGUGAAGUUGUAAAGGAAUGUUCAUUGUGUGUUUAAUUGUGAUGGAUAGGAGCUAGAAAAAAUAUGAAAGAAAUUUAAGUUUUUGUUGCCCAAUUUUGUUACAAUGAACCUAUUUGGCCCUGGUCCGUUUAGGACAAUGUGUACCUUAACCAAGGCAAAUUACUUAGGUUGAGGGUGGCUACUAUAGGGGUACGUAACAAGAAUUGGGGUGUGAAGAAAAGAUGAGAAUUGAAUUAUGAUGUAAAUAGAAAAAUACUCCUACUGUAGUGUUUUUAAUAUGCUUAUAAAGAUUGGGGUGAAACAAUAAAUGUGUAAAGAUAAUAAAGUGAAAAAUUGGGUUAGUAAAAUGUGAUUUUGAAUGUGAUUUCAAUUGACAAUCAAAAGUGGCAGACUCUGCCAAUGUAUCCUUGGGGAACAACCUACAACAAUAGUUUUAGCAACAACAGUAGCAUAAUACUGAGGCCAAUAACAUUAAAGAGACUCUAGAAAAGAUUUUGGCCAACCAAGAACAUAUGGCUAAUGAAAUAAAAAAUUAGCAAAUUACACAGAAAUAGUUAAAGCAGCAAGCGGGGAAACUAAGGAAGGAACAGAAUACAAGGCCUUAGGGUGGUUUACCAAGUGAUAAUUAAUGUCCGAAUCAAGUAGUGACAAUCACUUAUACGAGUGGAAAAGAGAUGAAUGAUAGGCCUCCAAAGACAAAUAAGAAGGUAGAUAUAGAGUUAGUUCCUCAAUCAAUUACAGAUAAAGUUGUUAAAAGUUUGGGAAAGUCUGAGUACCCAAAAAUAAAAGUUGUUUAGAAAGAAAUACCACCAUCGUUCCCACAGUUGUUCUAGAAAGAAAAGGAGAAUGAAUGCUUCAAGAAGUUCAUUCACACAUUCAAAGAGCUCCACAUUAACCUUUCUCUUCUAGAUGUUUUGCAAGGAAUGCCUAAGUAUGCUAAGUACUUGAAGGACAUGGUGACAAGCAAAGUUAAGAUGCAGGAUAUUAAGACUGUGGUACUAACGGAGGAGUGCAACUAUAUGGUAAUGAAAAAGGUACCCAAAAACCAUAAGGACCCAGGAAAUUUCACCCUCCCUAUUUAGAUUGGUGACAGUGAAGUGGUACAUGCUUUGAGUGAUUUUGGGUCGAGUAUAAAUUUGAUGCCUAUGUCUAUGGUCAAAACUCUUUGGUUGGGUGAGCCAAAACCAAGCUCUUUGAUAAUCCAAUUGGCGGAUAUGACCUUAGUUAAGCCUGAAGGAAUAAUUGACGAUGUCCUCAUAAGGAUUGGUAAGUUUGUAAUUCCUAUUGAUUUUAUUUUCAUGGAUUUUGAUGCAGUUAGCAGGGUGUCAAUCAUUCUAGGAUCUCCAUUCCUAGCCACGUGAGGAACAUUGAUAAAUGUGAGAGAGUGCACUCUCACAAUGAGAUUGGAUGAUGAAAUGGUAUUUUUUAAGGUGUAUAAUCCACUUAAUCCAUCUUCCUACUAUAAGGAUUUAUGUAUAAUUAUAGUGAUUGAAGUGGGUAAGUAUGGGGUGGUAGAAAGUGCACCACUAAAGACCUCUUUGGACAGUCUCAUUAAGCUGCCUAAGACACUACCUAAACCCGAGAGGAUGAUGGUUGAUAAGCAUAAAAAGGCCAUCAUUGAGAAAGCCAUUGACCUUGGGAGUUCACACUUAUGAGGUCAAAGGAGAGUGAUAAGAAGGCCUCCUAGUAAAAGGAAGAGGAUGAAUAAAGUUGGUUGAGUUUUGAUGUUGUGUCGUGCCAAGACACUAAAUUAGGCAUUGCUUGGGACUAAGUAUGGGGUCCCCAAACCCUCUUGAUAUUAAAAGAAGCUACUAGCUAGUUCUAGAGGCCCUAGGGAGUAUUUCUAUCUCUACUUUAAAAUCUAACUUUGGGGAAGUAGAUUUUUAAGUGUGGCAUAGGGAAAUUCCCAUGUUUUGGAUAAAGUGAUGCUGUAGGAUCUUAGUUUUAGUUGUUUUCUUAGUUUUUUUGGGUUAAAUUUAAAGUUUUUAAGAAAAUAGAAAAAUGAUUUUACUUUUUAGUUUUUAUUUUGUGGGUGUUAGUUGAGUAGGUGCUCACUUCACCAACCCCGUGGUUGUUGUUUUUUUUGUUUUUCCCAUAGGGGUUAUGAUAAGAGAGAUGUUCUUAUUGGUUCUACGUGUGAUUGCAUGAUGCAAGUGGAUUUUGUGUGUAAAAGUAUGUUGUUGUGUGAAUUACUACUUUUUAGACUCCUAGGCUUUGGUUUAUGACUCUUGUAAGUUGUUGGCUUAAUUUUGAAGUUGUGUAAUUGUUUGCUAAGAGUGUAUGAAGAUCCUACUUUACUUGAUCAUGUGCCAUGUAUGUGUUAAUUUUUUUGUGUAUUCCUUGUUGCAUGUAAUAUCUAGAACUUUCCUAGUGUGUGUACAAAGCAAAAUAAAGAAUGUGAGUUUAGGAUAUGAUAGGCAUUUCAUUGGAAACCUUAUUUCAUACCCUAUUUAAUCUACCUUGGUUCAUAAUCCUAGUGAGCUAUUGAGACUUUAGCCUAUUUUGUUGGUAGAUUUAUAUGUAGCCUAAUUCCCUUUCUUUGUGUGACCUUAAUUUAAUCCAAAGCUCCUAAUCUCUCUAGUUGAAAAUUAAUGAAGUAAAUGAGUGUGAAAACAAGAAGAAAAGUGGUGAAAGUGAGGCCCCAAAAAGUAGCUUUUGGUGUUGCAAAAGUGAUAUGUGUUGUGAGUGGGAGUUGUGUGAUGAAAAAGACAUAUUGUGUUAAAAUUUGAUUUUGAGUUGAAAAAGAAUGCUCUUUCCGAAUUAUACCUGACUUGCUUAAUGAAAUGGGGCAAAACAAAAGAGAAUGGGCAUGACAGAAGUGGGGAAAAUUGGUUGUUAAGAGAUUAAUCUUAAUGUUCAUGUGAUGUAUUAAAGCAUUUAGGGAAGCUAGUCACUAUUAUUAGCCAAAUAGUUCCUACCCGUCCCUUAGCCUAUAUUACAACCCUAAAGACCUAUUUGAUCUUGAGCCUUAACAUUUUGGUAUUAGUGGAGUAAUACACUAAGGCAGAGCCUAUGGUUCUUCUUCUGUAACUUGUGAAAUCUUUGUGAGAGUGAGCGUAAAUUGAUUCUUAGGCCUAUUAUGUGAUAAAUUGCAUCUAUGUGCAUGAUUAUGAGUAACUCUCUAGUUGUGAGGGAACAUGUUUGAUGAUUUGGGUGAGUUUUUUCAUCUCUUUCAUUAAGUGAUAAGCAUGAGUUUUUCGACUAAGUAAGUAAAUUCUUGGGGUUAGGAUGAUUAGAAGUAUCAUUCAUGAGCUUUCAAUUGUGUGUAUAACAUGCUUAGUGUAAAAACUUGCAUUCUGUGGAGUUAUUAUAGUGCUGGCUUAAUUUUCUUCUGUGUUGUAGAAGUACGGAGUCUUCACUGAUUAUGAUGCAUAAAUUAAAGAGUUUUUCAAGGAUUAACAAGGCCUUAAGUAUGGGGUGAUGAUCUAAGGUUGAUUUAUGCACCCCAGUCUUGUUAUUCAGUCUUUUGUAGCCUUAUUUUGAGGGCUUCUUGUGUUCUUAAUGAUUAAUUCUUUGUGGAAAUAAGCAUUUAAGUGUUUUUUUUAUGUAAAUUUAAUGUUCAAACCAUGUUUAUAAUGAAGUUGACGUCAAAACACGAAGUUAAUAAUUGAGGGACAAUAGCUAGUACUCUUAGCUUGAGCUAUGGUCUACCAGUUUAUUAUCUUGAAUCAUAUGUUGUUUUGAGCUCUAAUGUAUGGUGUUUGAUAUUGUAGGAAGCUUGGAAAUUUGAUCAUUAUGGUAUAUAGUUGAUUAAAAAUAUGUAAAUCAAGUGUAAAUAACACCAUAGAUCAUGGACUUAAGGGACAAAAGCAUUGGAGAAUAACUAAUCAAAGUUUGAUGUUUUGGUGUACUUGGCAUGCCACGCUUCCUAGGUUCCAUGAUAUGGACUUGAAACACCCUUUAAAAUAUUGUUGAGGACUAACUCCAGUAUCUCACUGUAUUUUUAGAGUGCCUUGCUUCCUACAUGGCGCAAUAUGGGCAUUGCACCCCCCUAAGUCAAAAUCAACAAUUCAUGUUCUACUUUAAAUAGGACACUUAGUUAUUGUAUUGGACACAUUGGAAGACCUUGUGACUUGAAAGGAUGUUGGAGAAAACUUUAAUUAGGUUUCUUUUAUCUCCUUAAUUUAGUUUGAUUGUGGAUUUUAACAUGGAUUAUACUAUUGUGAUUCUUGUUAUGUCUAUGGACGGCAAAACACCCAUUUCCGCAGUUAAGGCCAAGAACAUGAGUUCUAUUGUUUGGAAUUGAAUUGUUUAUUCAUUAUUGGUUGCUUAUUUAUCCUUGUUAUUACUAUUUUAAGGAUUAAUGAACCUUGGAAUACAAGCUAUUACUCUAUUGUGAACCCAGAAGUAUGAAUGGUAGAGUAGAACGUGGGAUGAAUAGAAUAGGAUCGUAAACUUCAUGUAAUGAUGUUGUGAUUUGAACAUAGUAUAGGAAUAUAAUUAUGUUCCCUAGUUGGUUCUAUUACGAGGUCAAUACGAAAGCAUCUAACUUAGUUCUCAUAUCCUCUCUCAAUAAUAAACUUUUGGGGAUUAAGUUGGAUGAAUGAUUAGAGGUUUGGAAGGCCAUGGUCAUAGUAUAGACCCCGUGAACCAACAACCAAGAUAAGUAACCUAACCAAUGAACUUCCACAAUGUAUUAUGAUAGUUCUCAUGUCCUUAAUCCUUGUCCUUUCCCAUUGAUUAUUUCACAUUGUUACUUUACCGCAUUAUUUAGUUUUACAGUUAUUUAUAACUUACAAACUCUUUUGGUUACGUAGCACUUGAUUAAUCUCAUUAGUGAACUAAGCUUGGAUAGUUGUCCACACAAGUUUUCAAGGGAUCAAUAUUCAACUUUUUAUAAGGUUACUGUAUUACUUUGUGAGACCACGUACACUUGCACAUGUAAUUAGGCGCAAUAAGUUUUUGGCGCAGUUGUCAGGGACUUAUAAUUUUGCAACCAUUGUGGUUUUAGUUUUAUUUUUUGAUUUCUUUGGUUCUUUUCACUUAGUCUUGGUUUGUGAAUUUGCAGGCAAUAGGUUAACAAGAUAGUAAGCUGGUAAGGGACCAAGAAUUGGUUGAACCAUACCCCGAGACCUAGCAACGCUUCCAUCAACAAAGGAGAGAAGCAGUUCUUCUCUACCGUAUCCUGCAAAUUCAUAAGGAACAAGACACUUUUGAUACUAUAGCUUAAGAUCUACCAGCCCAUGGGAUAGUUUGUGAAGUGAAAAUUGCACUUGCAAUAAAUGUGACCUCCAUUAUUUGUAGACAGACUCCUAGAGGUAGAUUUGAAAUGAAACAAAACAUGGUAAAACUUUUUAAUAGCAAUGGACAGUUCACUGGGAUUUCACAUGAAGAUCCACAAGUCCAACUGCAAAAUUUUAUAGAUAUUAGAGUCACAUUCAUUUCGAUGGGUGUUUCAACUAAUUAUGUGAGGCUGACACUCUUCCCUUUUUUCACUUUUGGGGGAAGAAAAGAAGUGGUUGAACACUAAGCCGGCAGGUUCAAUCAAAAUUUAGGAUGACUUAGCCCGGAAAUUCCUUAUUCGUUUUUUCCCAUGUGGAUAGACUAUGAGACUUCAUGGUGAGAUAUUGAGCUUCAAGCAGAGGCAAGAUGAUAACCUAUAUAUGCUUGGGAGAGGUUCAAUGAUCUUAUUUGAGAUUGUCCACAUCAUCAGCAGUCUAAUGAUGUAUUAGCUAACACCUUUGUAAAAGCUCUUGACCAUAAUAUAAAUAUUUUGCAAGAUUUAUCUACAGGUGGUCAAGCAUUGGAAAAGACUUUCGAAGAGUUAUACACCUUAUUAAAUUAAAUUGCACAAGGAAAUUAGGAUUUUCAUGGAGAUACCUUAAGGAGCUAGGUGAAAAAUAUUGCAAGUAUGAUUGAAGUUGAUAGCAUCACUGCAUUGGCCGCCCAACUUUUAUCUAUGCAUAAUCUAAUGUUUAAUCAAUUCAGCAAGUUGGGUAUGCAUCAACAUCAGGCUCAGGUUAAUAUGGGUCAGUAGGCUCUGUAUGGUGUGAGAUAUAUGGCAAUAGUGACCACUCUGUAGACGUAUGAGGCACAAAUCUUGAAUUCAUCAACUUUGUGGAUAAUGCAUAGAAGCCGAACAAUGGUAAUACCUACAAUCAAAAGUGGCAAACUCCGCCAAUGUAUCCUUGGGGAAACAACCAACAGUAACAACAUAAUACUCAGGCCAGUAACAUUGAAGAGACUCUAAAAAAGAUUUUUGCCAACCAAGAACAGAUGGCUGCUAAAAUAAAAAAUAAUCAAAUUGCAGAAAAAUAGUCAGACCAACAAGUAAGACAACUGGCGCAGGAAAAUAAUACAAGACCUUAGGGUGGUUUUCUAAGUUAUAAUGAACCUCUGAAACAAGUAAUAGAAAUCACUACGAGAAGUGGUAAAAAGCAAAAUAAUAGGCCUCCAAAGACAAAUAAAAAGGUAGAUUCAAAGUUUGUUUCUCAACUGGUUGCAGGUAAAGUUGAUGAAAAUUUAAGGAAGUUUGAGUACCCAAAAAUAAAAGUUGUUGAGAAUAAAAUACCACCACCACCAUUCCUACAGCUGUUCCAAAAAAAAAAGAAGGAUGCAUGCUUCAAUAAGUUCUUUAACACAUUCAUAGAGCUACACAUUAACCUUCCUCUUCUAGAUGUUUUAAAUGGAAUGCCUAAGUAUUAUAAGUACUUGAAGGACGUGGUGACUAACAAAGUUAUGCUUCAAGAUAUUGAGACCGUGGCACUGACGGAGGAGUACAACUCUAUGGUAACGAAAAAAGUGCCUAAAAAGCUUAAGGACCCAAAAAAUUUCACCCUUCCUAUUCAGUUUGGUGAUGGUGAAGUGGUACAUGUCUUAAUAAAUUUGGGUGUGAGAAUAAAUUUGAUGCCUCUAUCUAUGCUUAAAACUCUUGGGUCGGGUGAGCCGAGACCAAGCCCUUUGAUGAUCCAAUUGGCGAACAAGACCAUUGUUAAUCCCAAAGAAUUAAUUGAGGCAUCCUUAUAAGGGAUGGUAUUUUUGUAAUUCUUGUUUAUAUUAUUGUCAUGGAUUUUGAUCUAGAUAGUAGGUGCUGAUCAUAAUGGGAAGUCUAUUCUUAGCCACGAGAGGAGUGUUGAUAGAUGUAAGAGAGAGCACUUUCAUAAUGACAUUGGAUGGUGAGCGGUAAUUUUAGGGUGUAUAAGACACUUAAUCCACCUUCUCACUAUAUAGAUUUACGUAUAAUUAUAGUGAUUGAAGUGGAUAAGUGUGGGGUGGUAGAAAGUGCACCACCAAAGGCCUCUUCAAACAGUCUCAGUUAGCUACUCGAGACACUACCUAAGCCCAAGAGGAUGAUGAUUUAUGAGCUUGAAAAAUCUAUUAUUGAGAAAGUUACUGACCAUGAGAGUUCACACUCAAGCGGUCAAAAAAGACUGAGAAGAUGGCCGCCAGGUAGAAGGAAGAGGAUGAAGGAAGUCGGUUGAGUUAUGAUGUUGGGUCAUGCCGCGAUACUAAAUCAGGCGCUUUUUGGGAGGCAAACCAAGUUAAGGUAGUUUUUAUUUUCAAUAUUUUAGUUUUUACUUCAAGUAGUGUUUGUUUUUUUUAGUCAAAGGUUGAUGGGAAAUCUGAGUACCGGAGACCCCAACGAUGGAGCAUGGCAGAGACUAAUAGUGGGGUCCUUAGAUUCUCUUAAUGUUUAAUAAUUCUACUAGCUAAGCCACGAGGCCUAAGGGAGUAUUUCUGUCUCUACUUUUAAAUCUAAAUUUAGGGACAAAGUAGAUUUUUAAGUGUGGGGUGGCAAAAUUCUCAUGUUUUGGGGUGAUUUGAUAUUGUAAGAUAUUAAUUUUAGUUGUUUUCUUAGUUGUUUUGGGUUAAAUUUAAAUUUUUCGUAAAAACAACAAAAAGAUUUUGAUUUUUAGUUUUUAGUUGUGGGUGUCAAUUGAGAAGGUGCAUACUUUACCCACCUUGUAGUUGUUCUUUUUGAUUUUUUUUCAUGGGAGGCACACUUUAAACCCAAUAUCAUUUUUCUUCAUAAGAGUAAGUUAUUAGUUUUAGCAGUGAUUAGGAUAAGUGAGAUAUCAUUGUUGGUUCUAUGUAUGAUUACAUGAUACAAGUGGGUUUUGUGUGUAAAAGCAUGUUGUUGUGUGAACUACUAUUUUUGAGACUCCUAGUCUCUGGUUUAUGACACUUGUACAUUGUUGGCUUAAUUCUAAAGUUGUGUGAUUGUUUGGAUGAGAGUCUAUAACGAUCCUACUUGACUUGAGCAUGUGCCAUGUGUGUGAUAUUGGUUUUUGAAUUCCUUGUUGCAUGUGAUGUCUAGAACUUUCCUAGUGUGUGUACAAAGUGAAAUAAAGUGUGUUGGUUUAGAAUAUGGUAUAGGUAUUUCAUUAACAACCUUAUUUCAUACCCUAUUUUAUCUAUCUUGGUACAUAAUUUGAGUUAGCGUCAUGGAGCUUCUAGCCUAUUUUGUUGGUAACUUCAUAUGUAUCCUAACUCCCUUUCUUUGUGUGACCUUAAUUUGAUCUAAAGAUCCUAAGUGAUUUAGUUAAAAAUUAUUGAAGUAAAUGAGUUUUAGAACAAGAAGAAAAGUGGUGAAAGUGAGGCCCCAAAAAGUUGCUAUUGGUGUUGGAAAAGUGAUAUGUGUUGUGAAUGGGAGUUGUGUGAUGAAAAAAAGAGAUAUAGUGCUAAAAUUUGAUCUUGGUUCUAGUACGAGAUGAAUAAGAAAGAAUUUAACUUAGUUCUCACAUCGCCGCUUAAUGAUGUAGUUGUGGGGGUAAAGUUGGAUAAAUAAUUUGACAUUUAAAAGGCCAUAGUCAUAGUAUAGACCCUGUGAACAAACAAUCAAUAUAAGUAACCUAACCAAUGAAGUUCUACAACAUAGUAUGAUUUUACGUAGAGGCUUAACCCUGGUCUUUCCCCAUUGAUUUUAUCAAACUGUUACUUUACCGCAUUGUUUAGUUUAUAGUUAUUUAUAACUUACAAACUCUUCUGGUUACGUAGUACUUGAUUAAGCUCAUUAGUGAACUAAGCUUGGAUAGUUGCCAACACAAGUUUCUUAGGGAUCGAUAUUCAGCUUUUUAUAAGGCCAAUGUAUAUCUUAGUGGUACCACUUAAAAUUGUGUAUGCACUUGGGUGCAACGCUUUCCAACUUACUAGAGAUUCAAAACUCUACCUCCAAGUUAAAUGCUAAGGCUAAGUUAUCAGCACUUCUAAAAUAGAUUAUCAAAAUUAAAAAAUGAGAGGGUUGUUAAUUUUUAAGUCCCCAAAAAUAGCGCCAAAAACUUGUUGCGCCUAAGAGCACAUGCAAGUGUACGUGUUCAACCAAGUAGUAAAGUGACUCUUAUGAGCCGAUUAUCGAUUUCACAGGGACUUGGUUUUUUUUCUACCAAACUAUCUAAUAUAAAUGUUUCUAUUAAAGCUUAAAAGUGCAAUUUGUAACCAACAAGAGUUUUAAGUGUUGAAAUUUAUAACAUUAGUAAUUAAAACAAGAAUGAUAUGAAACUUGGAUUGUAAACAAUAUAUGGAAAUUCCAGGAUUGAGGCAUUUGGAUCAUAUUCAUGCACAACUAUGGUUUCUAGCUGAUGUUUCAUCAACCAAAAUCAAUCUCACAAUGUAUGAGUCUUUCAUUCGGAUGUGUUAAGCUAUCUUCCCGUUUUAUGAACCAAGUGGGGAGUUUAGUAUAUCCCUAUCCUAACCGUAAAUCAUCCUUCAAAAAUUAGUAUCUAAAAGUUAAAAAUAUGAUCCAUACUAGCUACAUUCUUUAUUUUGUCUCUCCGCUCACAUGAUCAAUUCGUUUUGAGGCUUAGAUUUAUCCAAAAGUUCAUGACGCUUUAGAAUAGUAAAACAAGAAUGCAAGAACAAUCACAUGACUUGCUAACCAUAUACACCAACUAUAAGACCAUAAUUACAUAAUCAUAUUUUAGCCUCAACCACAGAAAGAGGGAGUUUAUCCAUUUAUAGUCUUACAAAGAAUCACAAUAAUUGAAUUCAUAAGUAAAAACUACAAGAGAACCAAAGUAAAGAAGGAAAACCCUAGUGUAGAGCCCCUUUGAUGUCUUCUCUUAUCUCCAAUCUUGUGUUAUUCCAAAAGUGAGGUCUAAUUGUGACUAUGUAAUCCAUUUAUUGUUUUUUACAUCUUCCAUAGUCUUCCCCAAACAAAACAUAUGCAUUUACAACAUUGCCCCUAACUUAAAGACAUAAAAAAUCAAUUUUUGGACGUCUAGGGGUGUGCGCCGCAAGGCCAAAAGCAUGGCCUAAGGGGUUCAGUGCACACCCAUAGAAUGGGUGACGUAGUUUGACCUCGCCUAGGGAAGGGCUCAAACUAAGUUAAACUUGUAUAGAUAAUGACACUUAGGUAUAUAUAUACUCCUACGAUCAAUGACUUGUAUGUUCCUCUUAUGGUUGGACUAAACCAAAAUGUCAUAAAUAAAUAUUUUCAUAAAAGCGUAUUAGAAAUACUCAAAAAUCCCAGAAAUGGCAUCAACAUAUUAGUCAAUCCAAAAGAUAUCAUUAGGAACUCAUAAUGCCCAUAACGAGUCCAAAAAGUUGUCUUAGGUAUGUUUUCAAGCCAAAUCUUCAACUGAUGGUAACUGGACCUCAAGUGGAUCUUGAAAAAUACUGAAGCACUCUACAAUUGAUCAAAGAGAUCAUCUAGAUGAGGCAAGGGAUACUUAUUUCUGAUGGUAACCUUGUUAAACUGCCUAUAAUCAAUGUACAUUCUCAUGCUACCAUUUUUUCUCUUUAAAAAACAACACUGAGCACCCAAAGUGAAGCAUUGGGAUGAAUAAAUCCCUUAUUAAGGAGUUCUUGUAACUUUGUUUUAAGUGUUAAUAGAGCCAUAUGAUAAGGAAGAAUAGAAAUUAGGUGAGUUCCCCACUCCAAAUCUAUAUAAAAACCAAUAUCCCUAUCUGGAGGCAUACCAGACAAAUUCGUAGGAAUUACCUCCUAAAACUCAGACACCACGUGAAUAGACUCAAUAGAAUGGGACCCUACAUUAAUAUCCCGAAGAUAAUCCAGGAAGCCUGAAUAUCUUUCCCCACUAGUUUUCUAGACCAAAUAAAAGAUAUGAUUUUCACCGGCUUAGAGUUAUACAUUCCCUCUAUUCUAGUUUACCCAUAUCUAAUAUUUCUAAAGUCACUGUCUUAGCAUUACAGUUCUAGACAACAUGCUAUAAGAACCAAGUUAUACCCAAAAUAAUGUCAAAAUCAAGUAUUUUCAAAAUGAUCAAAUCUACCCAAGUUGGAAACCCAUAAACAACAUAGAACAUGCACGAUAAACAUAGGUCACCACCACAGAAUCUACAACCAAAGUAGAAAAUACAUAAGAGAUUCAAGUACAUUACAAACAAAAUCCAGACCAACAGAAAAUCUAACAGAUCAUAAGAGUAAGUGUAACCCUGAUCAAAUAAAAUUUAAAGUCAUCCGGUCACAAAAGAGAAUAGUAGUUUUAAUAAUGGAACAAGAUGAGUCAACCUUAGUCUUUCCUGGGAAGGCAUAACAGUGAGCUCUAUAGUCUAGUUGGACAACCUUUCUAGCUGGCUACGCUCCUCUCUUCCCUACAUUACUAUUACCUUUGUUGCCACUAUCACCUUCCUAAUUAUUACCCUAUCCACCCUGUCAACGACCUUACCAUUGCCAGCUCUACCUCUACCUACUAGAAUAAACUUUUGGUCUAUUAUUGUGCUUGAUAACCUACCUAUCUCAAAAGAUACUCUCUUUUGAAGUUCCCUACGACACACCAUACUAGUAAAAAUCUCAUUCAAAAUAAGGUCAGUUGGCUGAAGAAUAAGUGGCACCAUGGCCUUUGGCAAAUGUAGGCUACUGAAUAGCCCCGAAAUAACCACCUGUGGAGGUUAGAAAACCUAAAUAAAUAGAAAGGGCUAGAUGAACCUACUGGUUGUGACCCCUAGAAUAUGAACCAAUAAGUUACCCAUAUUUUUGGACUUCUUAGCUAAUGCCUUAGCCUGAACAACCUACUGAACUCCCUCAAGCUUUUUCACAUAAUUAGAUACAUCAUUAUAUCUCUUUCAUGUAUAAGUCAUGUGAAUAUACAUAACCUGAAUAUUUGUGUUCAAGCCUUUAACAUAUUACCUGAUCUUUUUCUCCUCAAAGCCCAAAAACUGGGUAUCGUAAUGAAGCAGGGCACGAAACUUGGCCUCAUAGGCACAACAGACAUAGUUCCCUAUUCAAGGGCUAAAAUCUCAUCCUUAUUAUGAUCAAAGAGCAUAUGAGGCACAUACUUCUCUAAAAAUAGGAUAUGAAAUUGACAAGUCAAUGGAAGCUAAAUGGGUUAUCGACAAUCCACAUAGGCUUUCCACUACUCAUCCCCAAAUAGCUGGCUCAGUACCUGUAGUUGUUACUCUCACUACAUUCAACCUUGUCUUCACCAUCUAUGAACAAAAAAAUGAAGAGGGUGAGAUACCAAUUUAGAUCAUUAGAUACCAAUUGAAAUAAAGAUAUAGCAUGAAAAAAGAAAGAAAGAAUAGUUGCCUAAGGUCCUAUAGUCUCUCUCAUAAAAAGUACAGACGUCUCUGUUUUGUUCUGCAAGAAUCUACUAGAUCCAUUUUCGUAUGAUGAUAUCAAUGAAUUUAGGGCUCUAAUACCAACUUUUUCAUGACUUAAACCCGCUGGCACACAUACAAAACCCCCAAUAGAAGAACCAACCAACUUUAUAACUUAAUCAAUACUUAGCUAAAAAUAGAUAACUAAAACUAAUUAUAUCCAAAAAGAUCAAUAUCUAAUAAUAUAACAAAAGUUAACAAAAAAUACGAAAAAAUACUCUAUAGGAACUGAAAGUCAUCGUAUUAAAACUCUAAUAAAUAUUAGAAAAAAGGGAUGCAACCUCAGAAACUAUUGAAAUGUUCGAGUACAAAACAAAGGGACCAUAAAAUAAUAGAAGAAAUCAUGGUAGCCCAAAAGAUACAUCUCGCCCUUGAGCUCGAACAUGAUCUAAAUCAUAACUAAACUCUUAUAAUUUUCACUUGAAUAUAUUUUGUAUUCAACGAAAAGAAGAGUACGUAUAUUAUCAGCACAAAAAAAUCAUGGUGUGUUGGUAGGGUCCUUAAUCAACCCAAAAUAAGAAAUAUGGACACAUAAUCAAAACAUAGAACAACAAGACAACCAUUAACCCUAUUACGCAACUAUCUUUCAAGUUUAUAAUGAAGUUUAGUCAAAAAUUUUAACAAAGAUAACUAGUCAAGUCAGCUAGGGCCAACAAUAGGACUCCAAGUCAACAACCAUAAUGCAACUAUCAUAUAAACCAUGUACAAAUCAUACAAGUAAUAGACAAUAUAGGUCCAUGCCACAACUUUCAAGAAACCCGUAUUCUAAAGAAUCCUUAAUAACAACAGUAGUAGCAACAGCAUGCGUCCCGAUUUACACAAGAAACCACCUUAGUAAUUAAGCAUACAAACCUGAUUCACUCAAGAAAAUAAUAAAGCAAGAAACACAUAAUCCCUGGUUUACUCAAUGAACUAUCACACUGACCUGUACCUUAUACACAUAUGCUAAGGGUCUUAUGUGUGCGUACACUAGUCAUGACUUGCAGAGAACGAGUCCUUAUCCAUAUAUCAAUUCCCAAACAUCAAGUGUAUGUCAAUCUUAUAUCACCAAUCCCAUGGAGAUGUCCAACUACCAUUAUAUUGCACAAUAAUAACAGAUAUUACAAUAAUCACAACCACAAUAAUAACAUAACAACACUUGUAAAAUCAGUAGGUUUUCAUUUAGAUUCAUUACAUGCGAUUAACACUUAAGAUCUCAAACAAUCAUUUACUUUUCGUAAACAUGCAUUGCACAAGCAAUACUAAGAAUUAGUUAUCAUGCAUACAUAACACAAAUAGGAUUUUAACUACAUUAAGAUCAACAUCUACCUUAACCCAAGCUUGCACCACUUAAUAAAGCUUGAGGCUUGCCUUUCCAUAUAAUUUCCACUUGGUCGUGGUAUAAAUACAUGAACACAAUAAAUAAUCUACCAAAUGACCUACCAUGUCAAGUAUUACAACCUAAUACCUAACCCCCAAGGCCAAAUUCUUGAUCAAUUGGAAUUGUGUAUUUUUUUAGUUGAUUUUUUUAUCACACUAUGAUUAUUUUACAUCCUUGAAUGUCCACAUUUGAGAACAAUUGGUUGUUGACAAAAUUAUCUACGAUUAGCAUUCCUUAUUUAUGUUCAACAACUUAAGUAUUAUUGAUAUGGGACUUUUCCACAAAUAAGGGGAAUCUUGUAUUCCAAUAGAAGCAGGAGUACUGGUUUAAUGCAAGUAUCGAUCUUUUCUUUGUCCCUCCCUCUAUCGUACCCCUGCUGAGAAUGUGAGAGACAAAACUAUGACUUACAAAAGUGGUAUAUUAGUGCCUUAUAUGAAAAAUCCUUGCUUGGCAUGUUGAUCAUCUAUCAUUACUAGCGACACUUGUAUCGCUUUCCCACAACCCCCUUAUCCUCCCUGUUCUACAGUUAUUCUAUCAUAAUUCACCAUAAACCUUUUAAUAUAAUAGUUACAUUGGUGAAUUAAUAACAUGUAAGAGUAAAUUAAUAAUUAAAAAUUAAAACCUAAAGGUUUUACACGUAAUUUAUUCUCUUGCUCCAAAAAAUCUACUAAUUCAAGAUUAAAUCCUCUACAAAAAUUCAUAAACUAUUGCUUUCAAGGUUAAUAACUAAAAAGCUAGUUAGAGGGGGUGAAAUACUUACCUAUACGAAGAAAAUAGAUUAAAAAUGGAGGAAAAUUAUCCAAAUUGACUAUGCCCUUUCCCAAAUAUGAGUUUAGAAUAAUAACUCAUUUUUGAAAAAAUUUCUAUAUUUAUAGCAAUUUGCCCCACUAUAGUCACCUAAUCCUUAUAUAGCUACAACGAUGUAGCGAAAACUCCCACUAUAUUGGGAUUGAUCGACGUUGUCUUUCAAUAUAGCAAAAAAAAUUACUAUGGAGAGAGUCAUUAUAGCGAGAUUCGUUAUAACGACCUGCCACUCGCUAGAGAGGGAGUGGCGAUGUAGCAACUCGAGAAUCCUCCUUGUUUUGCCUUUUUUACAACACACCCUCAAACAUGACAUAUCAAACUAACCCCUUUAUGUCAAGUUUGAUAUUGGGAGUUCUACUCACUAAAAUUCACUUUCAAAAAGUCAUAUCAAUUCCUUAUCGAGUUAUCUAACAUAAAAUCAAGCUUAGCAUAUUUCAUUUACUCAAUCCCUUUCUGAAUUACACUUUAUCAUACAUCACUCCAUUUUUUAUCGAAACUAGCAUAACUUAAAAAUUCUAACUUUCAUUCUAGGAAAAAUUUUAAUCCGAAUUUGCAUGAUUGACUCACCCAUAACGACAAAAAGGGUUGUUACAAAUAAAAAUAAAAAGAAUUUGAAUUAAUAGAAAUAAAAAGUAAAUCAAAGAAAAAUAGAAAUAAAAAAAAAAAGAAACUUAAAAUUAACCAGCUUGUAAUUACACCAUGUAAUUACCAACAAUUCAUAGCCUCCCCCUAGUUAAUUAGGGAGUGCAAUUCUCUCCGACCAAUUACACCUAAUUACCUACCGACCAAGUAAUUAUAUGGUCGAUCAAAUAUGCCAAACUGUGUAAUGAUAUACAAUUACACCAAAUUUAAUUUUCAGGGUGGCGUUUUAAGCAAUCCCUUAGUUAACUCUAAAAACCAUUUUUAUCAUUCUCCUUAAUUUUUUUUAAUUUGUAGGUUUUUGUAGAUACUUUUAGGGGUAAUGUAGUCAUUUUAAAGAAAGGUUUAUCAUCAAUUUUAUCAAACACAACAAAUUAUUUUAUUAAUUUACUAUAAGAUUGAUUUUUCCUAUCUAAACAUAUAAUAUUUUAACUUUUUUAUAGCACUUACAUAUAUUUUAGUACUUGAUGUUUACAAGCAUGGUUUUAAAUAGUUAAGCUACUAAUUGUAAAAAUGAAGUAGAAGUUUCUAAAGAGGAACAAGAACAUCAAAACCAAAGUUUAGAUCACAUAUGUCUUUAUCAUUCAAUAGUUGUUCAAUAUUGAACUUAUUUAACCGGAACUCAAACUAACUUAUAGUAUGUUUGUAAGCUUAUGUUUUUUGAGAGUGCUUAUUUUUUAAAAAAGUAAUUGAGUUGUUUGACCAAACUUUUGAGAGAACAGAAAUGUAUUUAUGAAGUAGCAAAAACUAUUUUUCAUAAGCUAAAAAGUAACUUCUUCAAUAUGGAUGCCUCAGUGCGGAGGUGUGAGAGGUUGGCUAGGGAUGGUUUCAAGCGAGGUAAAAGUAGACCGAAGAAAGAUUGGAGGGAGGUGAUUAGACAUGACAUGGAGUAGCUUCAGCUUACCGAGGACAUGACCCUGGAUAGGAAGUUGUGGAGGAGGUAAAUUAGAGUAGAAGGUUAGUCUGAGUUAGGAUGUUGUAUGUUUUGGUGUAUACUUGAAGUAUCGUGCUUUGGGUAGUAUUGAAUAUGUUAAUUUCUAUUGUAUCUUGUUUUAUUAUUAUUCCUUAUUUUAUCUUAGAUUGCUUUAUUUUGAGCCGAGGGUCUACCGUAAACAACCUCUCUAUCUCACAUUUGAGGUAGUGGUAUGGACUGCGUACACUUACCCUCCCCAGACCCCACUUGGUAGAAAUAUACUAGGUAUGUAUUGUUUUUGUUGUUGUAAGAAGUAGAUUCUUUCUCAAAAUACUUACAUGAAAAGUACUUUCGAAAAAAUACAUUUAGAAGCUCUUUGAAAAGUUUAGUCAAACAAUAAUUAUUGCGCAAACAUGUUUUUAAAAUUUAUUGACCAAACAUAAAUUGUUUUUCACCAAAAGAUUUUUUUUUUUUUUAGAAAAAAGCACAUUUGAAAUAAGCAUUUUUCAAAAUAACCUUAUUUUAAAUAUUUGGCCAAACAGGCUAUUAAUUAGUUGAUAAAUAAGCAAACAAAAGUUAUUAAUUAGAUAAUUAGGUUGAUUGGUGCUCCAAUAAAAUUAAGAGCAAAUUUGCUCAAUUUGAACUUUAAGAGCAUAUGAUUUGCUAAGAAGAGUACACAAAUACGAACUUCCGUGCAUAUGAGUAAAUGAAAUUGAGAUAAUAGUAUUUAAAAGCAAUCUGAUAUUGUGGAAGAGUUUGUUAUGCCUUAUGUUGUCUGUUUCAGCCAAAGAACUAGGGAUUAAAGAACUGAUACCAGCUUAUUUUGAUCCAAACCUCAAACCAGAAGAUCUAACAACUGGCGUAAGCUGUGCUUCAGGUGGUUGUGGAUAUGACCCUCGAACAUCUACCUCCAAUGUACUGUACUUCUUUUUUUUUCACUGUAUUUUCCUUGUAAUUACAUAAUUAAAUUAAGUAAAAUUUGUUAAUAGAACUUUAUUGAAGGGAAGAAAGGCUAAGGUUUACAAUAUAAUCUGAAAAGCAUAAAACUAACUAAAACAAGAGUAGGCUAUAUAUACAUAGCCAAUAACCUAAAGGUCCAUAAACUAAAGGCCCAAUAACAUAUGGGCUAACAUCCCCCCUCAAACUCACAAUGCAACAGCAAUAAGCAUUGAGAGUUUGUCACACAAAAAACGAAAUCGAGAUGCCGACUGAGCCUUCGUAAAAAGGUCAGCAAUCUGCAAAGACGAUGGAACAAAAGGAAGCGAUAUGGUCCCGAGCUGUAAAUGAUGACGGGUGAAGUGACAAUCAAUCUCAAUGUGCUUCGUACGCUCAUGGAAGACAGAAUUCUUUGCAAUUUGUACCGCACUUUUGUUAUCACAAUGCAGGGGAGUAGGCAUAGAAAUGUGAACCCCCAUAUCUGCAAGAAGCCAACGUAACCAAAUAAUCUCACAUGUAGUCACAGCCAUAGCACGAUACUCAGCCUCCGUGGAAGAUCUAGAGACAACAUCUUGUUUCUUGCUCUUCCACGAGAUUAAAGAGUCUCCAAGAAACACACAAAAACCAGUGGUGGAUUUACGAUCAUUGCGAUCUCCAUCCCAAUCAGCAUCACUAUAGGCUCGCAACUCGAGAGAUGACGUCGAGGGAAACAAGAGAUUCUGAAACUGAGUGCCACGAAGAUACCUUAGAAUACGAAGUACAGCUCCCCAGUGCACAGAAGUAGGAGCAGUAACAAACUGGCUAACAACAUGAACUGCAUGUGCUAUAUCUGGACGAGUAACCGUAAGAUAAACCAAACUACCCACAAUAGUCCGAUAAAGACUCGGAUCUGAUAAUGGAACACCAUCACUAGGAGAGUAACGUGCAUUGGUUUCAAGGGGAGUAUCUACAGUCCUGUUGUCAGAAAGACGCGCCCGUGUAAACAAGUCAGAUAUAUACUUAGUCUGAGAAAGAAGAUACCCUUUCUUAGACUGAGCCACCUCAAUACCCAGAAAAUAACGCAGCAAGCCCAAGUCCUUCAUUGCAAAUCGAUGAGCCAAAUCAUGCUUCAAUAACUCAAUACCACUAUGAUCAUCACCAGUAAUAAUCAUAUCAUCUACAUAUAAGGACAAUAGAAUUCGCCCUGCACUUGUACAUCUAACAAACAAUGCUGAAUCAUGGUUACUCGGGACAAAUCCAAGGGAAGUAAUAACAGUGGAGAAUUUCUCAAACCAAGCACGAGGGGCUUGUUUGAGACCAUAUAAAGCUUUUCGAAGCCGACAAACUUCACCUGGCUGGUGGUCAAUACCUGGGGGAGGAGUCAUAUAAACUUCCGCGUGGAGAUCACCAUUCAGAAAAGCAUUCUUGACAUCCAUCUGAAAUAUCUUCCACUGUCGAACGGAUGCAACAGCAAUCAUAGUGCGAACAGUCGUCAUCUUUGCUACGGGGGAAAAAGUCUCCUCAUAAUCCAUACCAUAUUGUUGUGAAUACCCUUUUGCCACAAGUCUUGCCUUGUAUCGCUCAACAGACCCAUCAGAUUUUGUUUUUAUCUUAUACACCCAUCGACAACCAAUCGCAUGCUUACCAGGUGGGAGAGUAACCAAAUCCCAUGUAUGUGUAUGAUGAAGAGCAGCAAGUUCCUCAGCCAUAGCAUUCUGCCAAAGAGGAUCAGACACAGCCUCUCUAUACGACUCAGGUUCAGACAAAUGAUGUAUGUUUGCAAUAAAGGAAGCAAAUGAGGCUGAAUAUGUAGAAUAGUAAAAAUCUGGCAGUUUGGUGGACUUACAAGGUCGAGUAGACCUCCUCAGAGGUGGUGGGUCUCCAGUCUCAACAGUCGAAGGAGCAGACUCAGGCACAGGCGAGGCUGAAGCACUAUCAGGUGGCACACCAGAUGGCAUGGAUGAAUCCGGAACUGGAACCUCUAUGUCAAUCCCAAAGGGAUCAAUAAGCCGAAUAUCUGACUUUGUCACAUCAUGGGUUUUAGCUGGAAUGGAAUAAAAAGGAAUAUGUUCCAAAAAAGUGACAUGUCGUGAAACAUAUAAUUUCUGACUUACAGGAUCAUAGCAACGAUAUCCUUUUUGUCCAAUACCAUACCCCAAAAACACACAUAUAGCUGAUUUUGACCCUAACUUAUUUCGUUCAACAUGAGGACGAAGAACAAAGCAAGUACAUCCAAAAACUCGUAAUGCAGAAUAAUUCGGCGGGUGACCAUAUAGUUUCUCAAACGGAGACAUCCCUGAAGUCAAUGCAGUAGGAAUACGAUUAAUCACAUAUACAGCAGUUAGAACUGCUUCUCCCCAAAAAAUACUAGGAACCUCUGCAGACAAAAGUAAAGAGCGUGCUGUCUCAACAAUAUGACGAUGUUUUCUUUCUGCCAGACCGUUCUGCUCAGGAGUGUCGGUACAAGAUGACUGGUGUAUGGUACCAUCAGAGGCAAGUAACUGAGUGAAGUCAUUAGAGGUAUAUUCACCCCCUAAGUCACACCUGAAACACUUUAUCACAGCCGAAUGUUGUGUUUUAACAAGGGCUCUAAAGUUGUUGUAAAUGCCAAAGAAAUCAGAUCUGCGUUUCAUAAGAUACACCCAGGUAUAACGAGUAUAGUCAUCUAUAAACGAAACAUAAUAGGUCGAUCCACCCUUAGUGGAUACUGGCGCUGGUCCCCAUACAUCAGAAUGAAUAAUAUCAAAAGGAGCAACAGAAUAAGACACACUUUUAUUAAACGGUAAGGCAGAAAAUUUUGCCAGUUUACAACCACUACAAUCUGAAAUAUCACUAGUGUUCACAUGACCCAAAGCACCACUAGAGACCAAAAAACGUAAACGUGAAACUGACACAUGUCCUAAUCUGGAAUGCCAAAGAUAAAACUGAGAAGACAAAGGACUCAAACGAAAAGAAGAUAAAUCUAUGCUAGAGGCAGCAACUACAGACACUUUGAGAUUCUCCAAGACAUAGAGUUCCCCCAACCUACGGCCGGUCCCAAUCACCCUCUGAGUGUGUUGGUCCUGUAUAACACAAACAGAAUCAGAAAAAAACACCCAAUUACCAGCCUUACACAACUGACUGACCGAAACAAGAUUUAAAGCAAGUUUGGGAAUGUAAUAAACAUCAGAGAGGACAAUGUGAGGGGUAGUAACAGAACCAACACCCUCGACUGACAUAGGUACAGCACUCGCGGACAUAACAGAGAUUGGUGAAAUGGGUGACAAAGAACCAAACGAUGACAAAUGAGGGGACAUGUGAUGAGACGCACCAGAAUCCAAUAUCCACAAGGAGGAAGGAAUACCUGAGGUACUAGAAGAAACUGAACCCGAAUGAGACAUAGAUGCUGACAUGGCCGUAGGAUUAGAAACGAAGAACUGUCUGAACUGUUCGAAAACCUGGGGAUCCAACGCAGAAGGUGGCAUAGUGCUAACAGACUCAACAUCUACAGAUGGUGCAGCAGCAGCGAACUGUGGAGGACGAGAUGACCACGGAGGAGCACCAGAUGGGCGUGACGGAUACUUUUGCUGCCCAUAUUUCUGUUGCUGCCCAGAUUGAGGCUGUUUGACCUUGUUAAGUAACAACGGACACUGAGCCUUCCAAUGAUUUUUCUGUUUGCAGAAUGCACACUCAUCAAAUGCAACUUUAGGAGAUUGUCGAGUCUGAGUACGUGGUGGCCUAGACUGAUCAGUUGAAGCAGCAAACACGACAGGAGUAGUAGUUACUUUAGACCCUUUAUCCACUUGAGACUUGAUACGAGUCUCCUCUGCAAUCAGUUCAUGAACCACAGAAUCAACAGUAGGGAGGGGAGAUCGAUGAAGGAUUGUUCCACGUAGGCCCUCAAAGUCAGAACGUAGUGCCAUCAAAAACUGAACCAAGCGUUGCUCUUCCCGUCUAGCAAUGUACGGCCCAAAACCUUUUAACUCUGCAGAUUCAGUAAGUGCCAAUUGAUCCCACAAAUCCGACAUGGCAGCAUAAAAAUCUUGAAUACUGAGAUCAUGCUGUUGAAGAGCACGGAUAUCAUACUCCAACUGGUACUGCUUAGCAAAAUUAGACUGAGUGUACAGUCUUUCCAAAUGAUCCCAGACCUCCUUUGCUGUGUCAUACUUAGCCAAUUGCAUACCAAUUGACUGAGUUACAGAAUUGUUGAUCCAAGUGAUAAUCUUGGAGUUAUUAGUUUCCCAUAAGUCCACCAACAAAUCAAAAUUUUCAGUUUUAUCAUCGAUAGGUCUUGGUUUUACUCCAGUGAUAUAACCCCACAUAUUCUUCCCACGAAGAAAAUUCUUCAUGACAUAACUCCAAUAUGCAUAGUUCUUACCAUCUAAUUGAGUACUAAUGGACUGGAGAGAAUCAUCCUUUCCAGUCAUUGUAAACACAGCAACACACAAACAAUUCAAAAAACAAAAAGAUGCAAAACCCUAGGUUGAACAAUUCCGAACGAACAACAAUGGCAGCAAGCAAAAGAACGAAAGACGAACAAUACCAGACAGCAAACGAAGACAGCAACGAAUCAAUCCAACCAAAAAACCCAACGAAAAUAGCAAACGAAUACAGCAGCACCUCAAAAAAAAAAUUUGGGGCUCCGCCCCGAACCCCGGACGGGGGCGCGCUGCCCCCCGUACCCCCCAGCGAACUCACCGCGGAGUUCGAUCCGCGCAGUAGGUGCCUGCUACAAAAUCUUCAACCAACAAAUCAAAGGACAUGGAUCGAACUAGCUUUGAUACCAUGUUAAUAGAACUUUAUUGAAGGGAAGAAAGGCUAAGGUUUACAAUAUAAUCUGAAAAGCAUAAAACUAACUAAAACAAGAGUAGGCUAUAUAUACAUAGCCAAUAACCUAAAGGUCCAUAAACUAAAGGCCCAAUAACAUAUGGGCUAACAAAAUUGUCAAUACUUUCUUGGGUGUUGGCAUGCAUAAUCAGCAGCAUAAAAUCCUUCAUGUCAAAAUAAAUGGAACAAAAUAUUAAUCCUUUGUUUUCUACUUACUAAUCAGUAAGCCAUAGCACUAUCGUCACAAUUAAAUUAUUUCCAAGAGUACAUUGGGAAGCUGAAGGUAUUAGUUGGGGAAAAAGCAGCCAACUAUAUAUUAAACAAUAGCUUAUUCAUAGUGGCUACUGGUUCAGUGGAUUUUGCGGGGCUAAACUGGUGCUACUUCUCAGAUAUAAUUCGGUAGAAGAUGCACGAUGUAGACUCAUAUACCGAUCUUCUAGCAGCCCAUGCUUCCAACUUUGUCCAAGUUUUGUUUAUUUUAUUAUGACUUCUCAAUGCAAUGUUGACCCUUAAAUUGCAUGGCUCGAUGUUGAUUUUUUGGUGGAAUAGGCUUUUAAAACUUCGUUCCAAUUGAGUGAGUGAUUAUAUUCGACGAUAAUUUUAGUAGUUCGGUUAAUUAACUAUUUGAAUUUUCACCUAGUUAGUGGGGGUUUUGGGAUGUAGGUAACAAAAGAGUUUUAAAAUGAGGUGUAGGUAACAGAAGUCUUAAUAAUUGAGUGGAUGUGACAAUUACUUUAUUAUGAAUUAAGAAAGUUGGGUAAGUUUGAGAAUAGCCCAGAAGUUUUUAAAUUUAUACUUGGAUCCAAACGUUUACCUAAUAUAAUGAAAAACGGAGGGAAAAAAGUGUCUUUCUCUCUCUUCUCAUCCAUUGUUGUUUUCUCUCUCUUAGCGAUGUUUGUUGUUCAUUGUUGCUACUAUUUUAUUCAUCAUCUUCUGCUUCAUUAUCAUCAUUUUCUACUUCAUUAUCAUCUUCAUCUUCUUCUUGUUGACUAUUGUUGUUGUUGUUGUUGUUACCACUACUGUUGCUAUUUGACCAAUUUUGUACGUCAAAUUUUAUUUCAUACAUCACUUUCCACUUUGGCAUUACUUAAUAGGAGACUUUGGUAAGUCAAAUUAUGAUUUUUAGUUGAAUUUCUCAUCUGGGUAACUGCUAUUAUGCUGUUUUUUCAACAAUAGAUAGCACGCGAACAUGAAUGCAACAUAAGAGUCAUCUGUUUAAAUAGAUAUAUUUCAAUGGAAGACUCAUAUGUUGGAUUCAUGUUUAUGGAUCUAUAGUGCCAUAAAAUGAAUCGAACAAAAGAGUCAUAUGUUGCCACAUAUGACCUAUCUAUUACAACAGAUUAGUUAUCUGGUGCAACAUUAUAAAUAUCUGUUGCAAUAGAUUAGUAACCCAUUGCAACAGAACUUGAACUCGAUUCUAACAGACGUGUUGUCUGUUGCAAUAGGGUAAAUAUAUAUUGCACAGAUUAUUAACCUGUUGCAAUAGAACCUGAACUCAAUUCCAACAGACGGUAAAUAUCUAUUGCAACACAUUAGUAACCUAUUGCGAUAGAACCUGGCCUUAAUUCCAACAGAUCAUAGUCUGUUACAGCAGGUAAGUCAUCUAUCAUAAUAGGUGAAUUAUCUGUUGCAAUAUGUCACUCAUCUAUUUAAAUCUGCUUCAAAGAUGCCUUAUUACUGCAACAUAUAUCCCAACAGGUGCUUUAUUUGUUGCAACAGAUAUAUAGUCUGUUGCAACAUAUGAUUCACCUAUUACAACAGAUGACUGAUCUAGUGAAAUCAGCUUUAGGAGCAUAACAUGAAUCCCAAUAGGUAAGUAAUCUGUUGCGACUGAUUACACAUCUGUUGGGAUUUAUUUAGGGCACGAUGAAAUUACUAUUAGCUUUUUUUUAACAAAUGACUUUAUUUAGGUACCACUAAUAGAGGGAUCAAUAACAAUAGGGGUGGAUUGUCAUGGUCAAUGAAUCAAGAAGAGCAAUUGAUAUGUAUUGCAUUGGAAGAAGGGUGAAAUACUAGAGACGAUAGCUAUGAUACUCCAAACUGAUAUUCUGUAUGAUGAUUUUGUGAACUUAAUCAUCAGUUGUUGUGGACUGGAUUGUCAACUGGAAGAACUCGUCAUCAGUUACAUGCACAACUCCUUUAAAAAUAAGAGGGCACUUCUUUUCAAGAUAACCGAUCAGGUUUAGUUGCAUGCUUAUCUUAGUGAUUCAUCCAGACCGGUGUUAAAGGUGUACGUGGUUGAAAAGACAAUAGAGGAUGAGAACCAGAACGUAAAAGAAGAACAACAAAAAGACAUCUUUGAUGAUAGGUUGGAUAAUCUAGACAUGAAUAUUCCAGAUGAUGACAAACACCUAUGCCCAUUGAUGCGACUAAUACGGUGGCCAGUUCUUCUCGAUCGACACUGUCUGGCAAUCUUCAAGAAGACAGGACCGACUUUUUUAAAGAAAUUUCAUUUAAGGACAAGAAUGAACUAUCUACCACUUUAUUUAUUUCUUGCUUGAAAAAGAUUACAGAAUAAAGAAGAUGAUUAAUUUGAGCAGUGUCUUUAGCUACAAAUAUGCUAAUCUGAACUGCAAGUUGUGGUUGAGAAAGGUGAAGUACAUAAAUUCUGACAUAUUCGUUAUUCAUAAACAUGAAAAGUAUCAUAAACCAACCUUGAUACUGGUUUGAUUUCUUUAAAUAGUUGCUUCAUCUGUACAAAAGGGUAACACAAAAUUAAGUGAAUCAACAGAUGACCAAUAUGAUGCAACAAAUUACCCAUCGGUUCAAUCGAUGAGGCAUCUAUUGCAAUAUAUGGAUGACAUGCUGCAACAGAUGGAUCACCUCUUGAAAUAAAUCAAACUAGCCUUGCUACUGGUUUGCUUUUUUCAAUUACUCCUUCUGGUCCAACAACUGAUUUAUUAGUAGUACCAAUUGAAGAAACUGUUGCAACACCACCACCAACAACAUCAAUAACGAAGAAACAACAACAUAUAUUCCAACACCAUCAAUAACACAAACAUCAUAUGUUCCAAAACGACCACCAGCCCUAACAACAACACCACCAAAGUAACAAACAAAAGACAUAAAAAAACUAUACUGACAAUAAGUCAUUUUAAGUUCUCCCAACAAAUGACUUUUUUCACAUAUUUUAAUAAAAACAAUGGUUCGUUCAUUCAAGACUUAAAAGUCAGCUUUCCUUCAAUUUUUUAAUAAAUAGGAAACUGGUAAUGGGUAAAUCAUUACUAGAAAUAGAUGUAAAUAUCUAAUUUAAUUGACAUACAAAGAAGAAGAUGAGAUGAAAAGAGUAAUAGUGAACCAUACCUACAAUAUCAAAAAGCAAAGGGAUCAAAACAUCCAGUUCAGUUGAGCAACGAUAUUGAUCGAUUGAGAUCCAAAAGGUCUUUAUCCAAAAAAAGAGAGAGAAAAAAAAACAAAAGGAAAGAAAGAGAAUUGAGAAUAAAGAAGAGAGAUAGAUGAGUUGAAUAUUAUGUUACGGCUGUAAGGGAGAGUAUUCUAGAUAUGGAUUUUAAAUAUUCAUUAAUAACUUUUGAGGGGCACGAGGAGACAGUGACAUUGAAAAGACCAGAUAAGACUACUCACUCGAGAUAUUUUUUACUACCUUAGUAUUUUAUCUUUUUUAUCUCAGACAGAAAAUACCUAAAUUUUUUUAAAAAAGGAUCUUAAAACAUCUAUGUGCAAUAGAUGACAAUUUCUUUUGGAAAAUUUUCAAAGCUCGGUCAUCCGUCGCAAUAGAUGGCAUCACCUUUUUGAUAAUUUACAACAGAAGAGAAUAUGUUGCAGUAGAUAACUUAAUCUAUUUGAUAAAAUCCAACAGAAAAGACAUCUGUUGCAACAGAUUGAACAUUUGUUUUUAUGUGAUUUCAAUUGAAUACAUAUGCUCAACUAAUACCUUGAUUGAAUAAUCAAGUUAUAGAGGUGAGUUCUCAUAGGUUCAACUACAACUUUAAUUGAGUCUUUUAGCAAUUCAUGAUGAGAUGAUAUUGUGUUCCUCCCGACCAGAGUCAUCGAUCGAUCACUCUGAGCUAAACUAAUUCUUAUUACCUCAUAUGUUCAACUAAUAUCUUAAUUGAUUAAUCUAGGACUAGGGGUGAGUUUUCAUAGGGUCAACUACAACAUAUGGUAGAGCCUAUUUGAUAGUGUACAACAGAUGGGUAAUAUAUUACGACAUAUGACUUAAUCCAUUUGAUAAUUUACAACAGAUGGUAAUUUGUCGCAAUAGAUGACUUAAUCUGUUUGAUAAUUUAUAAAAGAUGUGUAAUCUGUUGUAAUAAAUGACUUAAUCUAUUUGAUAAUUUACAACAAAUGGUUAAUCUGUUGAAAAAGGUUGAACAUUUGUUUUUAUACAAUUUUAAUUGAUUUCAUAUAUUCAACUAAUACCUUAAUUGAUUAAUCUAGGACUAGGGGUGAGUUCUUAUAGGAUCAACUACAACUUCAAUUAAGUCAUUUGGCAAUUACAUGAUAAGAUGGUAUUGUGUUCCUCCCGACUAGAGUCAUCGAUCGAUUACUCUUAGCUAAACAAUUUCUUAUAACAUCAUAUGUUCAACUAAUACCUUAAUUGAUUAAUCAAGUACUAGGGGUCAAUUCUUAUAGGGUAAACUACAACUUCAAUUGAGUUUUUGGAAAUUCACAAUAAGACAGUAUUGCGUUCCUCCUGACCAAAGUCAUCGAUCGAUCACUUUGAGCUGAACCAAUUAUUAUUACCUUAUAUAUUAUUUUAAUAUCAUAACUUAUUAAUCUAGGACUAGGGGUAAGUUCUAAUAGGGUCAACUACUACUUCAAUUGAGUGUUUUGGUAGUUCCAUGAUGAGAAGGUAUUGCGUUCCUCCUCACUAGAAUCUUGAUCGAUCACUCUAAGCUGAAUCGAUUCUUAUUACCUCAUAUAUUAAACUAAUACCUUAAUUGAUUAAUCUAGGACUAGGGGUGACUUCUCAUAGGAUUAACAACAACUUUAAUUGAGUCUUUUGGCAAUUACAUAAUAAGAUGAUAUUAUGUUCCUCUCGACCAGAGUCAUCGAUCGAUCACUCUGAGCUAAACUAAUUUUUAUUACCUCAUAUGUAAGACUAAUACCUUAAUUGAUUAAUCUAGGACUAGGGGGGAUUUCUUUAAUUGAGUCAUUUGAAAAUUGUAUGAUGAGAUGAUGUUGUGUUCCUCCCGACCAGAGUUGUCGAUCGAUCACUCUGAGCUGCACCAAUUCUUAUUACCUCAUACGUUAGACUAAUACCUUAAUUUAUUAAUCUAGGACUAGGGGUGAGUUCUCAUAGGGUCAACUACAACAGAUGGCAGCGGCUAUUUAUAAUUUAUAAUAGAUGGGCAAUCUAUUGCAACAUAUUACUUAAUCCAUUUGACAAUUUACAACAGUUGGGUACUUUGUCAAAAUAGAUGACUUAAUUUGUUUGAUAAUUUACAAUAGAUGCAUAAUGUAUUGGCACAAAUAACUUAAUCUGUUUGAUAAUUUAUAACAGAUGGUUAAUCUAUUGCAACAGGUUGAACAUUUAUUUUUAUACAAUUUCAAUUGAUUUCAUAUGUUAGACUAAUACCUUAAUUUAUUAAUCUAGAAAUAGGGAUGAGUUCUCAUAGGGUUAAUUAAAACUUUAAUUGAGUCCUUUGGAAAUUGCAUGAUGAGAUGGUAUUGCAUUCCUCCUGACCAGAGUCUUUGAUCGAUCAUUCUAAACUAAACUAAUUAUUAUUACCUCAUAUGUUCAACUAAAACCUUAAUUGAUUAAUCUAGGACUAGGGGUGAGUUCUCAUAGGGUCAACUACAACAGAUGUCAGCGCCUAUUUGAUAAUUUACAACAGAUGGGUAAUCCGUUGUAACAGAUGACUUAAUCUAUUAGAUAAUUUAUAAUAAAUAGGUAAUAUGUCUGUAAGACUUCACAAAAUCCUAAGCUCAACUCAGUCUUUUAAGCUUGCUAAGGGGUUCCAAACUUAAAAUUCUAGCUAAGUAUUUAAACUUGAUAUUAUUUUGGCCUUCGUAAGUUGGAAACUCUAUUUCACAACUCUUACAACCUUAAUGUAUCAAUCCUUAGGUGAAAUCAUGAUCAGGAAUGUCAGUAGGUGUUUCCAGACAAGUUUUUGAUUUUUCAGACCUCAUUUUGAACAUGUUCGAGUGACCAAAAUAGUGAGUCGAUGCGAUCUCAAUGCAUCACGCCAUCCCUCGUGUCGAUAAAUAAUUUUUUCCUUAGCUCAGUGCAAAUUCCAGUGAAUCAAUGCGGACUCGAUGCAACACGUUAGCCAUUGUGUCGAUGCCAACUAUGUGGUACAACGGUCUGUGCAUCGACAAUUCAGUUUUCAGUCAUUAAAAGUUGCAUCCUUAGGGGUAUUAAGGUUUUUGUCCCACACGUAUCAACCCCGAAAUAUGAGAUUAAUCCCCUUUAGAGGCUAAAUCCUUUCACUAUUCUCAAACUUCUAAAGAACAAAAACCCUAGGUGAUCUUAGUUCAAAAGCCAAAGCUCAAUAUUUCACCAUUGUUCUUAAAGAAUUUAGCAACCAAGGUAUGUGAAGUGUUCAUCCAAGGGUUCCUUCCACCGUUGGAGUCCAAGAAACUCUUUUAAACUUCAAGUAUCUUGAUUUUAUGCUUUCCAUGAUUUGAAAUAAAGUGUAUUCAUGAUUAUUGCUAUAGUUGGGUUUCUAUUUCAUGAUUUAUUACAAGAUUGAUGCAGAAUUAUUUGAUAUGUGUGAAUUCAUGUUGAAACCCAUGGAAUUAUAAUUUGGAAAUUGAAUCAUGAUGCCCACAUGUUGUUUAGUAUUAUGUGCAUAUACUAUGCCAUCCAAGUGUUUGAUGAAUUGCUCAUGUGAAUGUAAUAAUAAGAUUAUAUCCUAGUAGUAUGUAUACUAUUUUAUGCCAUUCAAGUGUUUGAUAAAAUGACUCUAUAGAUGCAUUAUGAAUAAUUAUGCACUUUUAUGCUAUGGAAGAUCAUGCGAAGCUUUAUUUUCUAUGCUAUCGAGUCCUGGGGGUAUUUAUACCCAAUAAUUUAGCUGUUUACCUAGAGUCAGUGUCAGUUAUCGAAUAAUCUCAGCCAUGCCAUGAUUAGCAGUACUCUCAAUUAGUUACAGGGCUCAGAAGAACUCAGCAGACUCAGUAUUAGUCCUGUCUAUUUCAGUAUUCAUUUUAGGCCUCAGUAAACUCAGUCAGCUAAGAAAAUUUAGUAGUAUUCCAUCAGUCAACGGAAGUUAGUAAAAUUAGUAAUAGUUUACUGAAGUGUAGUAUGAACUAGGAAAUUAGUUCAGUGUCUAUUCAUUUGGGAGUAGGAUUUAGCACCGAGCAAAUCUAGGAAUGGGGACAUUCCUUCCAGUAGAGGGUUUGACCCUUAGUAGCAAUCCAUGUAUUACAAAACUACCUAGCCAGUGUAGGUUGAGAUAUCUCCUUGACAAAUUAGGGUUCAUACAUCUCACACAAGUUUUACUGACAGCGAGGGUUGACGAAAGCGCUUCCUAUUAGAGAGGGUUAACUCACAGCUUAUCUUUACCCAUGGUACUGUAAUACCUCGAGACUCUAACCAAUAGUGCAACCAUGACUCAAGCUCAUGAGAAGUAAAUUAUAGUGCUUUGGUUUUUUCUGAUCAAGGGUGAUGUAUAUUAAGGCCUCAAAGAUGUCCUAGCCAUUAGGUGAAUCAAAACAUUCCUUACCGAUUGAAUUCUUGGGAAGGAUAUUGCCAUAUUCAACUUCAAAUGAAUAUAUCUCUCAUUAUACUUUGAAUUAUUGAGAUCAUAACCUACUAAAAUAUAGAUAAUUGAAUUAUCUUUCCAACGAUAUAAAUUUCACCCAAAUCUAGUAUCGAAGCAAAGAGUUAUGCCCAUUUUACUCCAGCAAGUCAGGCUGGAAAACUGAGUGACGAUAUUUUGUGAUAAACUGUCACAAGUGUGACAACAUGUCACCAAUGUCGUUAGCCUUAGGCAGAUUUUCACCCCCAGUGAUGAUAUUUUGUGAUAAGUUGUCACAAGUGUGAUGACUUCUCACCAAUGUCGUCAACCUUAAGCAGAAAAUCAUAAAAUCCACCCUUUUGUGAUGACAUUUCGUGAUGACUUGUCACGAAUGUCGUUAGCUAUUUUUUUCAGCAAUUAAAGGACAUUUUUGCAAGGGUAUUUUGGCUUUUUCUCAUCUUUUGGAGGCCCCUAUAUAUCUUAUAAUCCCCAUCUAAAUCCUAAUUUCUUCAUUCUCUCUUCCAAUUCCCUUAGAAAUAUAUCUAGGGUUUCUAUUUAAGGACAUUAAUCUUCUAAAAAUCAUCCAUAAAUCUUCAAGAUUUCUUCAAGAAUCAAGUUCCUUAUAGUGUGGGCUUCGAGAAUCAUUUAUUACAAGUGCGGAUAGAGUCUCAAGCACUAGAAUUCAUCCAAUUUUAGAGAUUAAGAUAUGUGGGGUUUUGAACAAGAGCAAUUCUUUCAUUCUUGUGUCCAAAGCUUUGAUUUCUAUCAUGGAUUUAUACCCAAAUUACUUCAUCAUGAGAUUAUGAGAACACCAAAUGGAAUCCAAAAUUGAACCUAUUACGAGGUCCCUCAAAAGAUAAGGAAUAUGUGCUCAAAAGUUGAGCACAAAUGGAACACCAAUUGGAUCCAAAUCAACCCUUAAAGCUUAGGAAUUCAAAGUCCUAAUUUCUAAGAAUUUAUCAACAAUUGAAGGAGUCUUACCAUGAAAUCAAAGGGAAAUCACGAAAUAAUGGAUAACCAAGCUCCCCAAAUCAUCUACAAGCUUUAAUACCACUUUAUCUCAUAAUUUAGGAUUUUAUCUCUCAAAAGAAUGGAUGAAGAAUGAGUAAAAUUGGGAAAAGAGGUCUUUUUAUACCCAGACCAGGCAUUCAGGUUUUGCUAUCGCGACCCACAGAUCACGAUAGCAACAUAUCGGCUUGCACACGGGAACAGUGAUCGCAACCUCAGCCUCGCAAUUAUAGAAUUAGCCUACCAAGGGUAUCUCUUUCAUGACACCUUUGCUUGCGUUCGCGAUGACACUAGAUUUUUUGAUUCACUAGAUUUUCUAAGUUCAGAAUAGACUUCGAUCAGGGGUUCAGGAUUUGUUAGGAACCCCAUACGCACAAACAAACUAUGCAACCAUACAAAAAUCAACAUUCUAGACUCAAUGAAACCAUCAAAACUUUCAUCUAAGGUUGUUUGGAAUAAAUGUGGGGCCCAUACCUAUAGUUUUAUUUUUCACAUAAUCCGCCCAAUAGCCUAAAAUGAGUCUGGAGGCCUCGGUACCUGAACCAAAGGUUAUCCUAGCCUAAAAUCAAUAUUCCAGAGCUGAUGGGGCUGUUGGAAUUCUCAUCCAUGGUCAUCUUCUAGGAGUUUUUGUUUGAGAUCAAAUCCUAAAUAAUGAAACCUCCAAAAUAGGGAAAUUAGCCUAAAAUCCAAAUUAACUGUCUGAACAUCGAACCGAGAGGUUUGGCAAGUCAUAAAUGACUUGUAGCCAUAAUGGGGAGGCUCAACAUAACCGAAAUCCAUGCAAAUCAAGGAAAUGACCUGGAGGGUCAUUAUAUUAUUCACUACUAAUAGGACUUUCGUCCGCGAAAAUUAAUGGAUAGAAAGAUCUCAAAAGCCCAAAAGGAUAAGGUACUGUGCAUGCUCUGAGCAUGACUACCCAGAUAACCUCUACAAAGAGAGAAAAUUUCUAAGAGAUUUUUCCAUAGGUAUUCCUUUUUAAACCAGCUCUCUUACUUUACUUCCAAAUAGCCAAAACUCAAUAUCAACCAGUAACUGGCCUUCAACUAUUGCAAAAAAGGCUUAUGCAUGCAAAUCCAAACCACAACAUACUGAUACCACACUGAUAUUAGCACAAUCCAACAAAGGCUCAUUGCAACCAAAGGGAAACCAAGUCAUGAGUCAUACAACCGACCCUAAAUCUAAAUAUAACCUUUCCUUACCAUUCCACACCUUCUAUCCACUACAAACUAGGAGAAAAAUUACUUGAGUCUUAUCCAAGCAAUCCAAUGACAAAAAAACUCAACAAACUGAGGUUAGACUACUGAAAGUCCAUAUGACAAACAUAAGAAUAAGCUGAUAAAGCACUAUCUAGACAUACAAAUGGAGGUAAUCAAGGGAUGCAAUCUAUGCCAAUACUAUAACUAGUUCGGAUAAUAAUCAAAACUGGAAUCAAAAAGUUCAAGGCAUAACUACUCAUCACUAAACAAUCCUCUCCAAGAUGUCCCAUCAAUAGUAAAUAAACCUAUCCUGAACCCAACUCAAUUAUACUACUCCCACUAGGUAUAUCAUUCUGAAUUCUUAAAGAAAACUGAAGCCCGGAUGUUAAAGAUAAAGGAACCAAUGUCGUGUCCAUAGACUAUUAUCUGAUCACCUAUCACCACAAUCCAUCCAAACUCAAGAAGACCAAAAAGGUAACCACGAAGUGGGCUCAACCAACCUACUAAACUCAAGCUUUGCAACUCCAAGCUGAAAUCUUAACACCAAGGAUGAAUCACUCAAUCUCAACUACCCAAACCAAACCUGAAGACGGGUAGGCACUCACAGUCCAACUCUAUCAUAAUUUCCAAAUCACCACUCCAAGGUGUCAAAUCCAAAUUGAGCCAACAAAUCCAAACUAAAGUCAAAUACUCACAUCAACCACAUCAUCUGAAAUCAGACACAUUUGUACUAAAUUAUGUCGAGCCAAAAUUGAAAAAUAGCUAGAGAAUAAAACCAUAAGAAAAAUCACCGACUGAAAUCACAAGGAAUCAACUUCAUAUCCACUAGAGGCAUAAACUAUCAAAACAUUCUCAAGAACUCCCAAGGCUACAAACCACACUAGUAAGGGAAAAAACUCUAGCAACUCAUAGAAAUGCAACUUUAGCCAAAAACUAAUCAUUUUGGCACACCAUCUCGGCCAAGAAUAACCAUAGGCACAUAUCACAAAGAUGAAGCACUUUACCAAGCCUCAUUAGGAUGAAUAAACUCUGAAACAAGGAUUUCCUAAUCCACCCAAGUAGGACAAUCAUAACUUAAACAAGCCAAGAAUCAUCUCACUGAGGAAUAAAAUACCAAUAUCGACAUCAAUGUCAAGGUCAAGACCGCUAUCGAGAAAAGAAUCUAGUAAUGCAAGAUAAAGAAUUUCCAAUUUAUCCACUCACGAAGCGAUCAUAGAAAAGACCACCUACCUCAACACUCUAACUAUCUAACUCUACUUUAGACAAAAACCCUAUCACAAUAAGAAAAGAGCAUCUAACUUCCACACUAAUACCAAGAGCAAAUCAUCUUUAGGAAAUGAUUCCAACAAAUUUAAGAGAUAAAUUCAGAUAUCUUAAUAUCAAUAUCAAAACCACUAUCGAGCAAUGAAAUAGCCACAAGCAAAGAACGGGUCCAAAACUUAUUAGUCUCAAAUAUGGGAUACAUAGAGAAGGAUAUCUAAUGCAAAAACCUUCGUAGCCCAGGAGACAAGUCUAAGAAUCCCAAAUACAAGAAUGGUUAAUAUAACUAAAUUGCCUACUCUAGAAUCAUAAUAGAACCAUAGAAGGUCAAUAUACCUUCAACACCAUACCCAUUCCCGAUAAAUCUAGCAUAGCUAACUAAGAGAAAGAUGACCAACCUCACCUCAAUAUAGAAAAUAAAUCACCAAAUUGGGCUAUAGCUGCGCGACCCAAUGAAUAAGAACAACACAGAAGGGGAAUUUCUAACUAGAUGCUAUAAGUCUAGCCAUUUACUAAGAGAUGAUUAAUUACAUAAAAUAAUAACAGCAAUAAUAGCAAUAAUAUAAACACCAAUAUAAUGAAUAUGUAGUACCAAAAUAAACAUCAAUAGAAAAUACCACUAAAGGGCUAUAAUAAGCUAAUAGGCCAAGGUAAAUGGGACUCAAACCCAAAUGCUACACCCAUAGAGAGAAAAUAUCCAUACAAAUCUACUCCAUCAACUACUAAAAGAAAUAAAUAAUAGGGGUAGUCAUAUAAUUGUGAAUUCAAUAACAAGGCACACAUCAACCAAUAUUAACUCAUUAAGUCAUAUUAUCAUCACUAGGUACAAAGCCCCAAUACAUAUUAAUGAAAAAGGUAAAUAUGGGAAUUAGAAACACACCUAUCAUAGUGAAAUCUAUAAUUAUAUGCCUAAUGGGUCUAAGGGAGAAUAAAUCUGAACAUGUCCAAACUUAAGCUGACCGAUAAAAUCAUCAACUGCGGCUCUAAGCAUGCUAUCUCUAGCCAAAGGUGCCACAAUCACUAUGAGGAUAAUCUGAAUAAGCUGAAUGACUAGCAAUCCCACACCAAAGAAAAUCUCUAGAUCAGUGACCAAUUUCUCUGCAGUUAUAGCAAACUCCAAAAAACCCAACCAACCUAGAAACACGACUUAAGCCCAAAUGGCUGGCAAACUAAUUCUUAGAGCACUAUCUACUAUAAUGAUCAUCCUUCCUACAGUCAUAGCCUACCUUAAUAACUUUAGAAUGGAAAGAAAUAUAUGUAAUUCUGUCUAAACAACCAACUCACAUCUUAGGCACUUUAUGGAUCAAUAUCCCAUCUUACCAUAACUAAAACAAGCUCCUAGAAUACUUUGAGGUGCUUCACACCUUGAUCUAGAAUGAUCACCAUGAAUAACCUGAGGGUCACCGAUAAUCUGAAUCACUACUUGCGUAGAACUGAUAGGUUAUAAGUGAAACUUACCUCUAUUAGAUGGAUCCUCAAUCCUGGAUGAAAUAUAAAUAAUACUAUACUUAUGGCAUAGCCUCUUUCUGCCACCUCCAUAUGUAUCAAUACAUGCUCUCUCUAUGGCCCUCAAAUGAUAAACAACUUAAGAGAAGGAAGACCCAGCUGCUAUCAAGUGCUCCAACAUCAAGUGGAGUGACAAUGUUAUACCUCUAAUAAUUUCAUACACCAUGUCUAUCUCAUAAGGAUAUAGUAUCAAAAUAUGCAUGGACCACUCUUGAAACCUAAUAUCGUACUAAAAAACUGAUAAAGAACCCUGAUCAAUACCAAUAGACCUACUCUGGCCUGAGAACUUACUCGAUAAACUGAAUAUCAUUCUUAGUUAAGAGGUAUACACAAAGAGACUUGGGAUCCUUAAUGCUAAACUUUAAAAGGCUAAAGUAGUCACGAGUCGUACUAGAGAAUGAGUUGGCCCUAAAUCCUUUGACUAAUGGAGAAGAACUUCAAUAUCCAUAUCUGACUCUCUAGUCUGAUGCUAUGAUAAAGCUCUAAAAACAUGUGUUAAAGUCUUGUCCACAUUCAUCGACAACCUCAUAUUAUCUUUUAGGGACAAAAUAAGAUUAGAGAAUGUGCUUGAGGCUCAUAGAAAUGUGUACAUACAAUAAGGAGUCAAGAAAUAAAUUUCCUAAGAAUGUCCCUAUAGCCUCGAGAAGAUAGGUUACAAACGUGUUUGCACCAAUCCAUAAGACCUGAAUAAACACUUAGCUUUUGUACUAAUGCAUUGGUAUACCUAGGCUUUAAUACAAAUUUGUCACAACCUAAUUUCUCGGGUCAUGAUAGCUCCUACUAUAACCCACCAAUAGGAAGCCACACCCAUAGUCCAGAACUACUAGUAACGAACGACCCAAAGAAUGAGAGGAAGAAUAUAGAAUAGAUGAAAUAAAACACGAACAUACAAAAGAUUAUCCCAAAACCUGGUGAAAUCGGUACAAGAGCUUCUAGCAUAAUAAAGAUACAAAUAAGGGACUAAAUGAAUAUACAGAUACAACCAUCUCUAAAUACAACAUAGAGACGAGUCUAGUAGAUAAAAAGGAGGAAAGUAAUACCUUGAAUGUUAGGAGCUCACUCUACGUCUUUGAACAAUAGCUGCUCUACAUGAUAUAUAUAAUAAUGGCAAUAACCUGUACUAUGAUCAGUAGGAUAUUGAAGUGUAGUACGAGUACCAAACACAUGGUACUCAAUAGGUAACUACCGACUAAACUCCAAUAAAAAUACAUAUACAUAUAACAUAUACAUAGAAUGGAAACUACACCUAAAUGUCCAAUAACCACAUAAGAAAGCCAAUGAGAUAAUAAGGAUAAACUACCCUAUUCAUGUCGAAGAAACUUAUAUAACAAGGCUAAGGAAGUACUAAGGCUAAAAUAUCCUAUUUGAACUAUACUCAGGAAUCUCAACGCUAUACCAUAUAUCAUUGUCCAGUAUGCAAAACAAGGGUGAAAUAAAGAUAUAAAUGAGUAUAAAAGGCUAUGAAAUGAAUAUAUGAUCUAAAUAAAUGAAAGGAAGGGUUAUACAGUAACACCAUAAUUACGUAUUUAUAUAUAUAUAUAUAUAUAUAUAUGAACAAAGCCAACUUGAGGUACAUUCUAAAUCAUCAGUCUAGCAUUUUUGUAACCUCAGAAUCACAGUAGGAACCAGUGCUAGUAUACUUGAGGUUUCUUAAUUCAUACAUCUAAUCUGGAGUUAAUUAUGCAUAAUAAUGAAAUCAUAAGAUAGAAGAGCCAUAAUUAUACCUCAAAUCCCGAUACUAAAUCAUUAAUCAAUAUAUCACAAACUAUCUUUAACAAUGAUCAUAACCAUAAUAAUACAAUUACAAUGACAACAUGAGUAACUGGCUAGUCAAGACAACAAUACCUAACCAAGCCUAUCACGAACCCACACUACCACAAGCUCAGAAGGUUCAAUAAACAUACAAUACACCUAUCACGACCCGAUACUACCCCUAUCCAUAACAUGGUGCUUGGAAUAACAAGUGAUCCCAAGAUAAUCCAUGCACUAGCAUACUACUUGAGCAAUUGAUUUAAAUUAUAUAAAAACUAAAUUUACUGAGCAGAAAUAUGAUUAUGCGAGAGUAUGAAUAAAUGUAAUACUAAAUAAGUUUACAUUAUGAUAGAAUAAAAGAAAGAAACUUGAAAUUACCAAUAAUGACUAUAACUAUCUAUGAAGCCUCUACUAUACUGACUAUAGAUAGAUGAGACAUACCUCCAACUAACACUAGUCAAUACAUAUAGAUAAUCAGAAUACAACAUAUAAACUGCAAUGGACUAGAGUUCCCAUAAUAAUGGAAUUCAUCACCUACUAGCUGAAUAUUGAGAAUUGUCUGAUCCUGAUGUGUGGACUACAUUUGGUACCUAAAUUAUGAAGAUGUAGCCACAAAUGCAUAUAUAUAGUCAGUAUAUUAGAAUAUACUGAGUAUAUGGAGACAUGCACUAAAUUAUGGAAAUAUUUAAAACAUGCUUUUAAACUGAGGAUAUAAGUUAUUUUCUAAAACAUACAUUUAAAAUAUGACUAUACGUGAAAACUGGAAGUCAUAGUGAGAUUUAUAAAUCAUGAAGUGAAAAUAAUUUUGUAAAUUGGGAAGCUGUAAAAAAUGAAUAUUGUCUGUAAAUCUCAUGUAAAGAUGAACAAGUUGUAAAACUAAACAGAAGAUCAUGUAUGGAUACUUAGCAUAAAAAUAUGAACAAGUAAAAUUGAGAAUGCACAACCAAGCAUAAACAUAUACUAACAUAAUCUGAAUAACUGAAUGACUGAUAUCUAAAUUACUGAAUAAAUGAUGUCUGAAUAACUGAUAUUUGUAUACAUGGCCAUGCAAACCUAAACUGACAUACUCUGAAUACUGAACUGAGACUGUGGGAGCUGAUUACAACUGGCAUACCCCCAAUAUAAGCUAUUGGGGUCCAACCUAUAACCCAAUUAGAAGAGUGUUAGUACCUUGCUAUGGGUACCAACAUAUGACUGACGAUGUGGAUCUAUAAGAUUGAUGUCCCGAAGGACGGGGGUGUCAUUCCUAACUGAUGGGGGACUCCUCAUAAUCUACAUUGGUGCAUAGGUCUAUAACUUAGGGACUGCUACUAAUGACUCAUGCCUAACUGACAGGGGAGCCGCUAUCCCUAUGUUCACUCAGUGCUAAGUAUUACCCCCAACUGAAUGAUACUUGUAUUAUUAUUCAUUUAUUAUGAUAUGGUAUUAUACUGAUAAGUGCUCAGCAUGAACAUGGAAAUUUGAACAUAGUAAUAAAAUUAUGGUCUGACUGACUUGUUUCUUGGGAAUUGUAUCAUGUAAAACACAUAGGUAUCAGGUGUUCAUAACCCAUGAUCAUAAAAAUACAAUAACAAUAUUUAAAAUAAUGGUACAAAAUCAUAGUUCAAAGAUCCAAAACAUAAGAUAGUUCAAUAAUUGAGUGAAAUACAUGAACUAGAACAUAGGGAUGAGUUAAACUUGAGAAAACAACUUAUUCACAUGGUUUAACUUAUAACUUAAAGGUUCGACAUGGAAUCACUUGAAUAGAACAUGAGUAAUUGAAAUUUAAAAAAUGAAAUAAACUAGUUUAUAUGGGAACGCAUGUUGACAUGGCUUGAAUUUAAAUUACUAAGAAAUACGUAGAUUAAGUUCAUAAGUUUCAUGGAUAAUUUCAUAAAAUAGGAUAUUCAUACUUUGAAUAAAAAAGAGGGUUUUGGGGAUCAAUGGGUGAAAGAAACCCAUUGAUGAAUACCCUACAUACCUCAAUUAGAUGACUUCUUGAAUGAAGCCUGAAAUUGGAACUUGAAUUCUUGAGGGAAGAAAGUUAAACUUUGUUCUUUGAAAGAGGAGAAGGGUUUACGUGAGUUAAUCUCAUGAAAAGUGGGAAAAUAAUGCCCUUUUAGGGCUUUAAUUUGUCACUUGGGUGCUUAGGGCCAAGGGAAAAUAACUAAAAUGCCCCUUGGGCUGUUACUUAUGGAUACAGGAAAUAUAUGCUCCACGUCGCGGAGGAUAACGCAGGUCCUGAGGUCCGCAUCGUGGAGCUAUUUUAGACCCUUACUAUUUCUUAAAAUAUAGUCAUAACUUUUCGCUUAGGUAUUGGAUUAAGGCAAAAUUGGUAUCAUUGAAAAGCUAAUUAAAUUAUCUAUAAUUUGGUAGGUCUUCAGCUGCAAAAUUUCAAAUUUGUCAAAAGUUAUACAUGCUCAAAAUUGUUUCUUGUAGAAUCGAAUAUCAAAAUUUGACCAAAUCAAAGGCUUUUAGCUCAACUUUGCUCUAAGUGAGUCCUAUGAAUAUUUUUUUGCCUCAUAAGUACUCUUCACACUAGGAUAAUGAUCAUAAAAUAUAUAUUCAAAUAUAAAUCAUGGGAUUUGAGUUUUUACACAUAGAAACGACGGUUCAAAGUCUAGUCUAGAAAUGUAGGGUAUUACAAUACCGUAAGUUAUACUCAUCACCCAUACCUAUGCAACCCUCAUAAGGCCGAUAGAUAUAGUUGUAUACUGGUGAUAAGGGAUGCAUAUGCAAGAAUAAAUGACAAAUAUAAUCCAUAAUACUAACCAUUAUAUCAUCAUCAAUAUCAUAAUCAUCCUCCAGACUCAAACCAGUAGAUAUAUAAUUAAACUCAUAACCAUCCUCCAAACUCAAACUGGUAAACAUAUAAUCAAUAUCUGGACUUGGAUCGGUAAAUAUAUAAUUGAUAUCCAAACUCAAUCGGUAAACUUAUAUUCAAUAUCAUCAACGUCAUCAAUCAUUGAGAUUUACCCAAAAUUCAUAUCAUCAUACCAUUAUCCUCCUCCGUUCCAUACCCGAGAGAUGUAUAUCUAGAAAUAUAAUAGGUACACAAACUUAAGUCGUGGCUAAAAGAGAGUAAAUCUAUAAAUCCAUUGCUCUGGGUAAAAAUCGAGAAUAAAUCAUUAUAAAAUCAUAGAAAAGGUCAAAAUCUCCCAAGACCAAAGUAAAUAAUUGUAAUGAAAUAAUAGAUCAAAAUCUAUAUAGGGCAAAUCUUUAAAACACCAUUUCUCAAUCUCUAUGCAUAUAAGUCAUCCAUUUAGAUGGCACCAUUCCCAUUAUGAAGAUAUCCAUUUUUAAAAUAAAAAGUGGGACUUAAUCCUCUUUUUAGUAAAGAGAUUUAUAAAAUUAUAUUUUAGUUGGAAUCGUACCAUUUACCACACUUAGUAAUAACGAAUGUAGUGAAUCUCUAUAGGCCAUUUCUAGUAUUCAAACAAUGAAAUCAUAAGUCUCAAAAUGAUGAUAAACUAAGACCCUUUUCUAUACAAGGAUGGAAUACUUCAUAGAAUAUAACCAAUCAACAUCAUGAACAUGUCCUUGGGCCCAACAAUAAAUUCAGAAAUAGCUACAAUAUCAUGAUUAUGGACUUAGGCCCAACUGUAUAUCCGACAUAAUCAUAACAUCAUAACUUGGAGAAAACCAUCACAAUCCACCAAGUAAUAUACAAAGCAUUUCUAAAGAUUCAUUAGUCUCGACUCUAACUAAUCUAUUAACAAUAUAGGAUGAUAGAAUACUAAAAGCAUAGUAAGUAUUUCACCUUAUGAGGCAAAUCACCUAUCUAAUCCUCAAACUUCAAUAAUGAAGAAUAAGUCAUGAUGUUCUACCCAUAAUUAAUCUUAACAUUCUUAUAUACAUACAGUAUAUAAAACACAUUAACUUGUGAAGUAGAGGAUAUAGAGCCUAAUUUGAAGCUGAAACGCAAAUCCUUGAAUUGUCCACAAAACAUCUAGCUUUACUCCACGAUCUCAAAAUAUUGCUAUGCUAUAAAAAUCAUAAUCUCUGCAUUGUUAAGAGAGAAAAAAAACCUAUAUUGCCAUAUAAUAAGUUGGGUCAACUUUUAGGUCAAAAAUGAGCUUACGCAAUCCACUAACGGAAUGCAAAAUUAAAACCAUCACGAGGUCCCUCAAAAGAUACGGAGUGUGUGUUUAAAAUUUAAGCACAAAAAAACACUAAUUGUAAUACCCCGAGAAAUUUUUUAUUGAAAUUUUGUGCGUAAACGUGUUGGGUUCUAUCUUUUAGAAUAAAUUAUAAAUUUUCUGUGUGGAAUGUCUUAGAUUAUGACCCACCAUUGCAUAGAGUAUUGAAUAAGAUUUCCAAUUAUAUGUGUAUCAUCCAAAACGAACACCCGAGCGAUGAGUUAUGAACAUUCCCAUCAGACCAUGAAUAGUAGUGAACAGUAAAACGUGCAGGAAAAAGUACUGAAGCCUGGCGUAUUUUUACUCCAAUUUCAAAUAAUCAUAGCUCCUUGUACAUAAUGAUCUGGGUGAUCUACUAUAUAUCAACGACAAGCUCUGCGAGUCCUCUUUCUAAUGAAAUUAGUUUCAUCCAAUUUGUCUAUUGGAGCAAAAAGUUAUGGGUGAUUUACUUCAGCCUAUCAAAAGUAAAUUUUGGGUCAACUUCAAAUGAUCAUAACUCCUCGUACACAAUGAUCUGGGUGAGAUACUAUAAUCAAUAGAAAUAUAUGAGAGUCCUCUUUCUAAUUAAAUUAGUUUAAUCCAAUUUGGAUAUUGGAGUAAAACGUUAUGGUUGAUCUACUUCAAACUAUCAAAACAGUCCAUCAAAGGACAGAUUCGAGAAUUAUUUGACUUUUAGGGGAGUUUUGGUCAUUCCCCCUCACCCAAAAUCCGUCCAAACCCUAUAUUAAAUUCUAUUAGAAGUAUUAUUUGUUAUAUUUCAUCAAAUUUGCUCAAAAAAAAACCCUAAGUUCCUACAUCCAACUUCAAGAACCUCCAAAGUUCACUAUUAAUUCUACAAAUUUAUCAAGAUUCCAAGUUCCUAGUUCAAGAACUCCAAUAACCAUCAUUCAAAGACACGAUUAACAUCUCAAAAAUGAGUAUCGAUCUAAAGUUUAUCAUUCAAGGUAUGUGUGGUUUUUCAACAAGAACUCUCUUUCGUUCUUGUGCCCAAAAGUAAUUUUCUUUACAAAGGCAUGAUUUUUUAUUUGAUUUUUAUGAAUUUGAAGCAUGAACUCAUAUCUUAUGAUGAUUAUUAUGAAAUCUUGAUGUUUAUGAUUUGGAAAGAUGAAUUUACAUGUGUGGAGAUAUAAAGCAUGAAUCUUGAACGAUAUUUAUCAUGAUUUUGAUAUUUGGGUNNNNNNNNNNNNNNNNNNNNNNNNNNNNNNNNNNNNNNNNNNNNNNNNNNNNNNNNNNNNNNNNNNNNNNNNNNNNNNNNNNNNNNNNNNNNNNNNNNNNNNNNNNNNNNNNNNNNNNNNNNNNNNNNNNNNNNNNNNNNNNNNNNNNNNNNNNNNNNNNNNNNNNNNNNNNNNNNNNNNNNNNNNNNNNNNNNNNNNNNNNNNNNNNNNNNNNNNNNNNNNNNNNNNNNNNNNNNNNNNNNNNNNNNNNNNNNNNNNNNNNNNNNNNNNNNNNNNNNNNNNNNNNNNNNNNNNNNNGAUGGCAAGGAUAGGAUGGCUCUCCCCAACGUGGGUUGUAUGUUGGACUCCAUGUAGCUCAUAUGGUUUAUGUUAGUUAUAGGAUCUUUCAGUGUGUGUGUGUUUCCUUGUGUCUAUGGUGAAUGGUGAAGUGAUUUGAAAGUGGAAUUGUGAAAGUUAUUCUUUCGAAAGAUUUAAAUGAUAUUUACAUUAUGAGAAUUGAUAUUCUUGAUGAACUGAAAGUGAUUGACAAAUUAUAUGAUGACUCACAUGUGUUAUUGUACUUAUUUCAUCCUCUCAUGAUUAUGAUGAUUUUCUUCGGGCUAUGUGAGUCUUUCAUACAUCCUGCAUAUUUCUUAUAAAUAUUUAUGAUGAUGAUGUUUAUACAACUGUAUACACCCCCAUAUACUCGGUCUGUUUCUAUGGUACUGACCCAUAUCUUCGGAUGUAGGCUGCAUUUUCUCAAAAUGUAGGUUCAGGUGCUCAGUUCCAAGUUUGGCAGUGAUUCUUCAGGCACACUGUUCUACAUUCUCUGUUGUGGUGCGUCCUCUUUGAUAACUGAGUAUGAGUUUGCUGGGGCAUGUCUCAAUGGCUCACUGGUUUUAUUGAUUUUCUUAGAGGCUUGUCAGACUAGUAUAGAUGUUGGGAGUUGACUAAUAAGUCGUAUUUUGUUAUCUUUCUGAAAUUCUUUUAUUCUUGGAUAAUGAUUACUCUAUUAAUAUUUGAGGGUUAUUUAUGGAAACCCCGUUGAUUUGUGUUGAACUGAAUGAAAGUAACUCAAAGGGUUAGCUUGGGGCUACGAGUAGCCUCAAGCACUGUGUGACGCUCCGGGACCUAUUUUUCCAGGCAUUACACUAAUCGGGUGUCAAAUAAAUCCUUAAAGCUUAGGAAUUCAAAAUCAUAAUUUCUAAGAAUUUAUCAAGAAAUUGAAAGAAUCUUACCAUAAAUUUGAAGGAAACCCAUGGAAUAAUGGAUAACCAAGCUCCCCAAAUCAUCUACAAGAUUCAAUCCCACUUUAUCUCACACUUUAGGGUUUUAACUCUCCAAAGAAUGGAUAAAGAAUAAGUAAAAUUAAGCAAAAGGGGUCUUUUAUACAUAGACCAGGCAUUCGAAUUUUGCUAUCGUGACCCAUAGAUUGCGAUCACAAUAUAUUAGCCUGCCAAUACGAACCAUAAUCGCGACCUGGGUAUCGUGAUCACAACAUUAGCCUAGAAAGGGUAUCGCAAUUGCGACACCUUAUCUCACGUUUAUGAUGGCACCAAAUUUUUGAUGCACCAGUUUUUCUAUGUCCGAAAUGGACUUCGACCUAGAGUUAGAAAUUCAUUCGGAACCCCGUAAGCACAAACAAGCUAUGAAACUAUACCAAAUUUGACAUUAUAGACUCGAUGAAACCAUCAAAAAAUUCAUACGAGGUCAUUUUGACUAAAUGUGGUGCCUAAACAUAUAAUUCCAUUAUUUACAAAAUUAGCCCUAUAGCCCAAAAUGAGUCUAGAAGCCUCAAAACUGAACCAAAGGUCCCCCAACCUAAAAUUGAUGUUCUAGAGCUGAUAGCACUAUCAGCAUUCUUAUUCAAAGUCAUGUACUAGGAUUUUUAGUUUGAUACCAAAUCUUAAACAUCGAAAGCUCUAAAAUAUGGAAAUGAGCCUAAAAUCCAAAUGAAAUGUUCGAUCAUCAAACCAAUAGUUUUGGUAAGUCAUAAAUGACUUGUAGCUACUAUGGGCAAAGGCUUUAAAUGCCGAAAUUAUAAUCAAAUCAAGGAAUAACCUGGAGGAUCAUUUUAUAUCACCUAUACGAUAAAGGAGGACCAGGUCAGUAUAGCACAAUCCCUAUACUGAACACAAUGUCAGGUCUACUAGCAUUAAGAUAUAAUAAUGAACUAAUGAUUCCUAUAUACAUAGCUUUAUUUACAAACGGACUAGGGUCAUCCAAGUCUAGUUUUGAAGAAAUGCGAAUAUGAGUAUCAAUAGGUUUUGCAUCCUUCAUAUGGAAUCGUUUCAACAACUCAUGAAUAUACUUGUGCUGGAAAAUAGUAGUGCCAAUUACACUUUAUUUUAUCUGUAACCCAAAGAAGAAGUUGACCUCUCUCAUCAUAAUCAUCUCAAAUUCACUGCUUGUCGAUUUGGAAAACUUAUCAUGUAGGGCACUGAUUGUGGAUCAAAACUAUGAUUUCAUCAACAUAAACUUGAACAAUGAAUAGAUUUCCUCCUUGCCUUCAAAAAAAAGUGUGUUGUUAAUCUUUACUCUUUUGAAACCAUUAUCCAGUAAAAAUUUUAACAGCCUUUCAUACCAAGCCCUAGGGUCUUGCUUCAAUCCAUAAAGGGUCUUGUCCAACAUGAACAUAUGGUUUGGAAUGUCAACAUCUUCAAAUCCUGGAGGUUACUUCACAUACACUUCUUCUUUUGAAAUUCCAUUUCAAAAGACCCUUUUCAUAUUAAUUUAAAAUAGUUUGAACUCCAUAUAGGAAGUAAAAACAAUGAAAUUUGAAUAUCUUCCAUUCUAACCAUGGAAGAAAAUAUUUCAUCAUAGUGUAUUCCUUUCUCCUGAUCAUAACCUUACACCACUAGCAUUGCCUUAUUCAUGAUGGUGUUACUAUGCUUAUAAGCUUAGUUCUAAUACACCCAGGUGGUCCAUAUGACAGUUUCAUCUACAAGACUAGGGAUCAAUUGCCAUACCUUACUUCUUUUAAACAAAUUCAACUCUUCCUACAUGGCAUUUAUCCAAUCAGCAUUCUUCGAGGCCUUCUCUACAUUCUUGGACUCAACUUGAGAUAAAAAUACGGAGAAAGAAUAGAAUUUUAUAGCUCAAUUCCUAUUUUACAUUCUUGAAUCUAUAGAAGUGUGUAGAUUAUCAAGUUGAAAUGAGGAUUGAUGCUUCUAGUUGGGUCUAUGAGGGGUAGGCUGGUUUGAUCUGAGACCAGCUCCCAUAGAAGUGUUACCCUCAGGGGACUGGUGGCUUACUGAACUGGAUUGAGGAUUAGGAUUUCAUAAGAGGAUUGAGAUGAGCCAAGUUCCUGAUAAUCUAAGGAAUCAUCUUCAUCUUCAUGGGUUAAACAUGGUACUUGGGAGUCUGCACCAUCCUUAGUUCCUUUUUCUAACUUAUUAUCAUUAUCAUUUGACUUCUCUAGAUCAUUCAGAAUCUCUUCAAGAUUUGUUUCAUCAUGAUAAUGACCUCGACUAGACCCUUUAACUUAAUCAAACACAAUAUGUACACUCUUCUCUACACAUUGAGUUUUCUUAUUGUAAAUUUAGUAGGAUUUGUUGUUUGAGGAAUACCUAAUAAAGACUCAUCCAUCACUUCUUGGGUUGAAUUUACUAAGAUCAUUCUUACCAUUAUUAAGCACAAAAUAUUUACAGACAAAAGGUUUGAAGUAACUCAGCUUGGACUUCUUUUUGGUCAUGAGCUUAUAUGGAUUCUUAUCAAGAAUGGACCUAAUAAGACAUCUAUUGAUCACAUCAUAGGCUAUAUUAACUGCUUUUGACCAGAAGUUUUAUGUUAUUCCUGUAUCAAUCAGUAUAGUCCUAGCAAUAUCUACCAAGGUUCUAUUUUUCCUCUCCAUAAUACUAUUUUAGUGAGGUGUUCUAGGAGCUGAAAAGUUGUGAUUCAUUAUAUGAUCAUUACAAAAUUAACUGUACUUUGCAUUUUCAAAUUUUGUUCCAUGAUCUGACCUAAUCCUAGCAAUCUUUUCAUUGUAUUUCACUUGUACCUACUUUGCAAAAGCUUUAAACACUGGGGAGGUUUCCUUCUUAGAUCUCAAAAACAUUUUUCAGAUGAACCUUGAAUCAUCAUCAACUACAACAAGAAUAUACUUCUUUCCCCCUUUACUUGUAACCUUGACAGGUCCACACAAGUCUAUGUAAAGAAGUUAUCGAGGUUUAGAAGUACUCACUUAUUUCUUUGACUUGAAGCAGGACCUAGUGUGUUUUUCCUUCACACAGGCAUCACACACUUUAGAACAGAAAAAAUUCAACUUUGGCAUUCUUUAAACUAAGUCCUUACUAACAAACUUAUUUAGAAGAAAGUAGCUCACAUGACCUAACCUUUUGUGCCACAAUUCACCGGCAUCUUAUUGAACAUUGAGACAUGUAAGAUUCUUGGAGUUGUAGGAUCCUAAAUCAACAACAUACAUAUUCUUGUUCCUACAUGCAAUGAGCAUAAUUUGACCAUUUUUUAGAUAGGUAACUAUGCACUUGUCUGACAUAAACUUGAAUUCAUUUCCCUUAUCACGGAUUUGUGACAUACCCAAUAAACUGAAUUUGAGUCCAUCCACAUAGUACACAUCAUCAAUAUCUUGAUUCAAACAUUUACCAACUAUACCAACCCUAUAAUAUAACCCUUUUGUCAUCACCAAAGGAGAUACUGCCCCUUCAUGGGCCUUGAGCGAAAGGAAACCUUCAACUCUAUCAGUCAUAUGCUUAGAACCACCAUUAUCCAUGUACCACUGGUGCUUGUUUCCUCUUUCUCUACCCUGCAAACAUAAUCAUUUAUUAGCCUUGGGAACUUAUUGAAAUCUGAGUUCCUAAUAGGAUGACAAAGAAAAGAUUAAAUUCUUCUUGGUCCAAGCAACACACCACUACUUUUCUUUAAUUCAGAAGAUCUUCUCAACUUUUUAACCAAAACUAAUCUUGAAGAGAAGGUGUCUUUGACAUGACUAUUUCUUCCACAAUGCAUGCACAUGAGAUUGUUCUUCACAAAAACACAGUUGCUACAACAUACAUUUGAACUUUAGAAGCCAAGACCAACUCUAUUGUUUAAUCCAUAAUUUGUAAGACUUGUCAGAACUUGAAAGGAAGUGGUCUAUUUAAGAGCCCUUUCAAGUUUAGCUUUGUUCAAAUCAGGUCUCUCUUGAGCUUAGAGUUCCUUUCCAAGGAAGCAGUUAGCUAUAGAUUGGCUUUUGUUUGCUUUUCUUCCAACUCAAACUGAAUUUUGCUACCUUUACCCUGUACUUCAUGACUAGACUUAGCUAUUUGAUUAAGUUUUUAAUUCAAUAAUUUAUUUUAAAAAGAGAUAUUGGUAUCUUUCUUGCAAUUUAGACAAUUGUUCAAUUGACUCGAUAUUUUCUAUUAUUCAAUUAACUCAAAAUUUUUUACUUCAAAUUCAUUAAAGGUUUUGUUCAAUAAAUCCUUUUUAGUAAGAUCAGGAACAUAAUCUAUCAAGACAGUGGCAAGGGACCUUAGCUCCUUAAGUAAAUAAUCUUUAAGAUUUUCUUUUAUUUCCAGAAGAGUUACCUUGUCAUCUUCUUCAUUAAUGCCUCCAAGUCAAAGAGUGAAUCAUAAAUCUAAACAUCAUCUUCAACAACUAUCAUUGAGAUAUCCUCUUACUUUUUUAAUUUAUCUAACUCACUGAAGGUAUUUCCCCAAGUUGCAAGAGCUUGCUACACUACUCUGUCAUCAACAACUCUUCUAUUAUAUCUAUUAGGGACUCGAUCCUUCGUCUUCUCUCUAUCUCCAACAUUCUUGACAUACUCCUUGUACUCAAUCUUAUGAAGGGGACAAUAUUUGAUAAAAUGACCAUGUUUGCCACACUUGUGACAUGUGUCAUUGCCUUUGUUGUCCAUGUUGUGCCUGUUUAAGCAUCCUCUUCUUGGUAUCCCACCAUUCCUCCUUAUAAUCAUGAGAAAUAUUUUGGUGAUAUAAGUUGUUUCUUCAUUUUAUUCACUAUAUUCUCUUUAUGUAGACUUGAGCACCAAGUUCUUUUCUUUCUUCUACUCACCCUUUGCUUUAUCUUGUUGUUUCUUGAGUUCUUAAGUCUUUAGGUUUCCUAUCAACUUAUUCAUUAUUAGGGUCUUUUAGUCCUUAGAUUCAGAUAUGACAUUAACCUUGCUUUUCCAUGAUUUGGGCAAAUUACUAAGGAUUUUAUUAACCUAUUUGGUAGGUUUGAUUACCUCACCAAGGCAACGGAGUUCAUUGGUAAUAACAGUGAACUUGGUAUGCAUUUCUUGGAUAGUUUUACCUUCCUUCAUGGUGAAAGAUUCAAAUUGUGUAAUCACCAUAUCUAUCUUUGACUCUUUAACUUGACUCGUUCCCUAAUGAUCAGUUUGCAGAUAUUUUGAUAUUCCUUAGUUGUUUCACAAGUUGAGAUCUUGUUGUAUUCAUCAGGACCAAUUCCAUACACAAGAGCUUUUUGGCUUUGAAAAUUUUCUCUAUCUUUAUCCUAUCAGCCUCAUCAUAUUUCUUCUUUUUUUGGGAACAUUUGAAGUAACAUCACCCACUUUCACAUGCUUAGUGGGAACAAAAGGCUCAUCAAUAAUUAUAUCCCAUAGUUUACAAUCUUCAGCCAUAGCGAAGUCGUGCAUAUGAGUUUUUCAGCCCUCAUAUUAUUGUCCAUUAAAUCUUGAUAGCCUAGUGGUUGAUUCAACCUCUUUGAGAUUUGGCGGUGCUAUCAGUUAAAUGAUCCUUCCUAGGUAUUAACCUUUUAGGAAGAACCUGCUCUGAUACCAAAUGAAGAAAUAUACAAAUUCACUACUAACUUAGAAAACUGGUCCCAACUAUCAUGCUUAGUGAUGAACAAGACUAAAAGUAAAAUAAACAUAAAGAACAAUACACACAAACACAAUCUUUUACAUGGAAACCUCCAUGCUCAACGGAGUAAAACCACGAUCUACCUCGUAGGAUAUUCAACCACUUUACUAUGUUCAAGCAACCUUGAAUAUAGACUUCAUGGUUCAAUAAUUAACCUCUUAACCCUAAUUCAACUUGUAAUAACUCUAUUACAAAAACUCUAACAACAUAACUCUAUUGCACAAACUGACAUAGCUAACUCUAACUGAAUCAGUACCAAGCUAACUCUAUCUUCUAUGUCAAGUAACUCUAAAUGAAGCUUUCAACAACAAGAACACACUGAGAAAAUGCCUGCUAUUAAUGGAUAGGAGAAGUAGGCACAACGUUUACAAAACAUAAAAUAAAGGCUCAAAUACAAUAAGCGUUUGAGACACAAACAAUGAUUGAGCAGGUCUCUGUUGCAAGUAAGGCUUUGAAUGAUGAAAUACUUUAAGAGAAGUUUGAUGUUGUUAACAUAUGGAAGAUUGGUUUCCUUGUUGUAGCAUAUUGCACAUAUAUGAAAUAAUAAAACCUAGGACGUCUCUUAUUAGUUGGGGUAAAAAUGUUUUGCAGCCUUGCCACCAACUUUCUUCCAAAAUGGUACUUUUCCAGUAGUAAUGCUGACUGAGUGAAAGGGACAUGAAUACAAUGAACCUGGUCCCUGAGCAGCUGCAGUUUUGUGAUCAAAGGACUUUUAUGAACCAAGUACCAAGUUAAUAUUUUGUCAAUUAUCAAAACUAAGGGCUUAAUGGUACUUUAACUGAGUCCGUGGAGAAUCAAACAGUUACUUUUUUAAUUAUGAUUAUUAAAUAUUUUCAAGUAUUAACCAUGCUCAACUUAUACUACUAUGUUUUAGAAUACAUAUAUAGAUUAACAUUUCAAUUUUGUUUUUACUGACCACGGAACACCUCAAUUUUCAUUAUAACCAUCUAGAUAGACACUUUAAGUUGGCACAGGUACAUCUCGUGAAUAUCUUAAUUUUGAAAAUACACAUCUAGAUACUUUUAAGGGGUUGAAUUCUAGAUGUGCAUUCUCAAAUUCUAUUGUUUAAGAGAUGAAUUAAAAUCAAGUUAAGAUAUCUAGAUGUGUAUUUUUACAAUUGAAAUAUUUAGUUAUGACCUAGUUAAAGUGUCCAUUUAUAUAUUAUGCUAUUUUUAAAUAUUUAAAAUUCAUCUCAAAAUAAUAAAGAAUUUUAUAUGUUCUAAUUCAUACUGAAAAAAUAAGUAUUUUGAUUGUUCUUCUGAACUAUUUCAUAUGAGUAUGGUCGUGGUAGUACUAAUUUCCUUUCGAAUCAAGCAUGUUGCCUUGGUUGUGUUUCAAAAGAAGUUAUUCCAUGUAUAAAGAGGAAUAUGUUAUAUCAUUCAAGGUUUGUUUUUUCUUUUUACUAUUAUUCUAUUCUUAAGGAAUUGUACAAAUUGGGUGCAAGACAAAUUGCAUUUCUGGAAGUUCCACCAUUAGGAUGUUUGCCAGUGUGGAGAAAAUUAGGUGGAGGUCCAGCUAGAAUGCGUGUUGCUGAAUACAAUGAAGCAGCUCAAUUGGCCAACACCAAAAUCUUAAAUGCCAUUAAUUUAUUAGAACAAAAGUUUCCUCAUCAAUACAAGAUCAUGUUCAGCGAUAUCUUUUAUUCUCUACUUAAUUGCAUAGCCAACCCUCAAAAUAUAAUACAUAAUAUUAAUUUAUAUCUAUAGAGUUCACAUUUAUUUUUUUAUUUUAUCAACUCACUUAUAUAUAUAUAUAUAUUUGAUUGAUGAUAGAAUUUGAAGAAGUAGAGAGAGGGUGUUAUGGCUCAGAAAAUAUUGAGGUUGCUGCACUAUGCAAUAAAUUUAGUGAAAUAUGUGAAGAUGACACAAAAUAUUUAUUUUUGAAUAGUUUUCAUCUUACUGAGAAAGGCUAUCGAAUUCUUGUAGAUCAUAUAAUCAAAAACUAUACCAACAAUUUCUUGUAAAAAUGAAAUUGAUCAAGUUAAUAAACUUUUGGAUCAAAGGUUAAACCUAAUUGCUUUUAGUUUGUCCACCAUAUAUUUCAUUUAAAUAUCUUAAUUCCAUUGAUAAAGCUAUGAUUUAGUUUCAUAACAUGUGAUUGUACACAGUAGCGAAGACAAAAUUUUCAUAAGGAGGUUCAAACAAAAUAAGUAAACAUGCUACUAGUAUCCACAAAUAAGCAGAUUGGAUCAAAGAAGAUGAAAUAUAUAAAAUUUAAUUUUACCAAUGGCUAGUUAUAAGUCUUCAACUUUACUAAUUUAUAGCCAAACAUUUACGAGUAUACAUGUAUAUCACAUUAUGCUAUCCUGGAUUAAUGAGAAACAAAACAUUACCUUCCAUAAUUCUUUACGAUUACAAAAUAGGUAGUCCAAGUGUCCAACUCAGAAGGAGAGAAUAUUUCUAGAGCUUAAAUGUAAAAAACCUGGAAGUUGCAGAGCCUAAAAGUUAUUUCACUGGCAUAAGACAAGUGAUUAUAUGAAGAUGUAUCAAGUAACUAAUGAAUUCAAUAAAUGAAAGUCAGACCAAACCAUCAGCUAAUACAAUCAUUUAAUGUAUCUAAUUAGAUAAAAUUUUAUUAUGGGAACAAACCUAAUUAAAGGCAGAUUCAAAUGCUUCCAUCUGCCACCCAAUUUCAGUCCUCACAGUAGCAUCAACCACCAAAAUAACAUAUUUUUUCAAGUUACUAAGAUCCACCCGCAACUUUCAAAACAAUGGCUACAAAAUGAUACAAAAAAUCAAUAAUAACAUAAACCAUUAUAUUCUAGUCAAUAUUAUAAAACAUAGUAACAAUUUCACUACUUUACAAGGGGAUUCAUAAAUUAAAAAAAUCAAACGCAUGAAGAAGCCUAUCAAAACAUAGUUUUGCUAUUAAAAAUGCAACUACAUACAUUAUUACAAUUGUACUCUAUGAGGUAUCAUAUAUUGAAAUAUCUUAAUAAUAUAAUAAUAAAAAUAUUAUCAAUUACAUACUUUUAUAAAUAAGGCACCAAACAAUCACUAAAAAAAUCAUCACUCAUUCGGCUCUGCAAGUUAUUUUUGAUAAUUUUUAUUGUCAAAAAAGUUCUUUCAACGAAUUCGGUGACAACUGGUAGAAGUAGAGCACGUUUCACUAAGUGGAAUACUAGACGAUAAUUUGAAUAUUUCUUUGUCUUCACUAAUAUUUUGAAAAGAUCACAUAGCCCAUUGAGAUCGGAGAAUCUUUUAGCAAUAAUUUAACCUGCAAGUUGAUUUUCAAGAUUACCCAUAUUAAAUUCAUCAAAGUCAUUUGUAUAUAACUCAACCAUUCUCAUUAUUCUUUUAUUGUCAAAACUUAAAAAUGAGUUAAUUGAAUUCAAACAAGCAGUUCCAUAGAGCAAAUCAAUCGUUACCUCAUCAAGACGAUCAUUGAGUUCUUGAAGUUUCCAAUCAAUAAUAUUAUAAAAUACUUCGAUACGAUAAUGAUGUAAGAUUGUAUAGCUAGCAAGUUUACAUUGGUAUCUAAGGAGCCAACAUAUAAUUCUUCAAAGUUAGGUAUCGAAAUAUCACGUUUGAUACAAAAUAUAGAUACCUUAUCAAUAACAGAAUCUCAUUCAUUAUCCUUUAAAACUUGCAACCUUAUUUUUACUACUUCAACAAGUAGCAUGGCAUUUGCUAUAUCUUUCUUCUUUUUUAUAAGAAUUUAUUAAGCUCAUUUGUGAUAGCGAAAAUAUUUAUCAUUAAAUGCAACAUGAAAGUAACCUUAAAUGUUAGACAAGCUUCAAGAUGAGAUAUUUCAUGCAUCAAGAACAAGUGAUUCAAGAAGAUCAAUAAUAAAAUCAAAAAUCAAAAUAAAAUUGCUAAAUGAUUUAUAAUGGGAUCCCCAACUUGUAUCACAAGCUCAUGAAAGAUCAAGUUGUUGAUUCAAGUCCCUGCUGAUAGUAACUUCACUCAUAUCUAAUGCCUCUUGAAUUUUUUCUUUUUAAGAAUCUCAAAGUUCAUUCAUACGCUUAAAAGAAGAUCCUAACACAUUUAAAAUAUUUGAGACCAACACUAUAAGCUUUUCCACUUCAAUACACUCUUUUGAGACUCCAACAAGAGUUAAUUGAAGUUGAUAAGAAAAUAAUAGAAAGAAUAAGCUGAUUUGCAUUCCUUUCUAACAUUUUAAGACCAUUGAUCUAAUCUUGCAUAUUACUUGACCCAUCAUAACAUUGUCCACGCACCGCUGAUAGACUCAAGAAAUAUUGAGCAAGUAAAUUAACAACUGCUUCCUUUAGAGAUAAAGUACUAUUAUCUUGAACAUGAAAAAUGCUAAUAAGUUGCUCCAUUAUAAAUUCCAUUCUAUCAAUAUAUCAAAAUACAAUAAUCAUUUUCUAUUUGCGGAACACAUCAAAAGAUUUAUCAAUUAGUAAAGCAAAGUAGUCACCAUUUAAUUUCUCAAGAAUAGUUUAGUUGUCUCUAGUUUACAUGCAGUCACAAUAUCUUUCUGAUCAUUGAAGAAGUGACUUGAUCAUCUAGAGAAACAUAUUCUAGCACAUAGUCAUGAAUUAUAUCACACUUUUUUGCAUAUCAUGAGAAUAUUUGAAGAAAGUUACCCCUGCAAUGUAAUGAUUUAGAUUCAUCAUGGCCUCAAAAUGCAAAUUUUUGAGUUAUGAGAAGUCUUACUAUAUCAACCAACGUAAUUAAGUGAAUCAGAUAUCCCUUCUUAAUUUAAUUCAAUUGCCUAUCAAAUUUAAAUUGAAUAGAUUGUCAUUGUCAUAAUAAAUCUUGACAUUUCUUAUAUGAUUGAUUGUGUAUGCUAUUUGGUAGACCAAGAUGUUUUCCAAGACUCUUCUUUUUAUGACAACUUCUAAAUUCUAUAGUUGAAAAUACUUCACCUCCAUCGUGAUGAAUUUUAUUGUCUUUAAAAAGAUAACAAUACAAACAAUAGAUUGCAUCUUUACUAACACUAUACUCCAACCAAUCAUGAUAUACAUCGUCAAACUAUUCAUGAUUGAAAUGAUGCAUUGAUCGAGCAAUAUCUAUUAGAGGAUAUUCAUGAAGCUUCAAACGAGGUUGACAAGGACCAUUUAUGAGAUAUGUUCUUCUAAUAGGAUCAUGAUGUUUCGAAGGAUACUUCAGUAUUGAGAUUCUUUCUCCAGGAUCAAACUUUAAAGAACUCAAAUCAAAUUCUUGAGAAUGAGGUACUAGUAUUUCAAAAUGGUUGACAUUUUCUUCUUAAUGAGAUUGAUUAUGAUUAUUAGAGACUAAAUUAGAUUUUAGUAUUAUGGAGACUAAAUUUGAUUUUGAGAUUGUGGUACAAUAUUUCUCCACCGAAUGUUGAGACAUGUCAUAAAGUAAGAACUUAGUUAAAACUUAUAAAAAUCAAAUAAUAACGUAUUUUCUUAUUUAACUCUAAAAAAUUAAAAUAGGCUAACUAUUGAACAAGUAGUCAAGUAGGCACAUUAUCAACAAAGAAAAUAGUGGAACACCAAACCUUAAAACUAACAAGCACUAGACAUAGAAAGUAGACAUGUCAUUUAUUUUGGUUGUUUGCAUUUUUAAUUUGGUUCAAAUUGAUGCACAAGUCACAACAUAACUAGUAGAAAUUAAAAAUUCAAAUUUGGAACAAUGAAACUCUUAUUUUCCUCAACUAAUGUUUCUAAGUUCUAAAAUGGUGGCAGUGGCACUUAAAAGAAAUAAAACCUAAAAUUAGCCAUCUUUUGCACCAUAAGUCAUAAAAUAAAAAAGAAAUUUUACACAAAUAAAAAUCAAAAUCCAAGUACUACAUAUAUAGAAAUAGAAUUUUGAAAAGAAUAAAAUCAUAAACGAAGGAAUCGAAAACAUACCAAGGAAGUCAUAACAGAGAUAGAGAAGACCGGAGCCAAGUGGAGGUCGGAGGGAGAUGCCCGAUGAUGAUAAUCGGAAGAAGAAAGUGAGAGGCGAGUAGCGAGCUUAGCUUGCAGAGAAAGAGCGUGACUUUGUUAGAGAGAGAAAUAGAUAUGAUUUUUUAUUGUUUGACAUUGAAUUAGGGAUUUAAUUUUAAAUCCAAUUUGUCCCUUUUUUUAAAAAAAAAAAUGACAUCAUUUAGGUUCCUUUUAAGGAAAAAAAUGCCUAACUUUCCUUUUAACAUCUAAAGUGCAUGAAACAAAAAAAAAUUAUCAUGAACGGUUUCAAACCCGAGAUUGUGUGGCCCUCUGCAUGAAAAGUUAAAACCCCCUUGGCCACUGAGCCAAGUUUUUUGUUUGUGCCAAGGGGGUUCAACUUAGUGUAUAUAUAUAUAUAUACACAUAUAAAAAAAACUUCAUCUCUCUCUAUAUAUAUAUUGUAAUUUUUUGAUGAAGAGGAUUCGGAUGAACCCCUGGAGUAUACUUAUCUCCGCGCCUGAUGGUAUGUAGAGAACUUUCUCUAUAUAGGCUCUCAUUAUUUUUCAUUUAUUUAUUCGUCAAAGAGUAUUUAUGUUGAAUUUUCAAAUUAUCAAAGAAAUAAUUCUUUGUUUGAUAAAAAUAUUCCCUCUAGUUUUUUAAGUGUCUUUAUAGACUUUAAAAGUAAAUCCAAAAUGACAUUUUUAAAAACAAGAAAAUAUUAUUUCUUAUUUUUCUAACUAACAUUCUUGUUAUAAACUAUGGGAAUUGUCUAGAGUUUAAGUUUGUUGAAAACAGGGACUAAGUUUCUGAUUAGUCAAUAUACUUAAAAGUUAGUUAUAGUUAGUUAUGGUAGUAAAGUUAGUUAGUCUUAUCAGUUAGCUAGUACUUAAGCCCUCCUACAUGAUUAACCGAGACUUAAUAGACACUAUAUAUUUAUUUUACAAUCAAUUAGAAAUACAAAAUAUGCUUCUACAUUCUUCGUCAUCAUCUUGCCUUAUUCUCUCUUAUCUUUCUUCUUCUUCUUCACAUCAUACAAUAUUCAGAUUCUAGACUAAAGAAUCUAUAAAAAGUUUUAUGGUAUCAAAGUACAGAAGAUACGAUAAAGUUUCUAUAUCAUUUUAAUUUGUAAUUUUUUGUUUUUCAUAAUUCAAUUGAAGUGAUAAUGCUCGAUCAAAUAUUGAUCGCAUUGUCAAAAAUUCUUGACAACUCUACUCAAAUUUAAUUAAUUUUUCAAAGAUAUAUACAGUGGAAGCUAUCAACAAUAGAGGUAAAACACCUGUAGAUCUGACAAGUUCAUCCAUAGCUCCAGGGCUAGCACCCAACCAGUCUUCAACUCUAAUAUAUCACAAACAUCCUCUGUUCUUGACCUCAUAUGAUAUAAAUGAGAUGACUAUUAUUUCUUUCCAGUUGAAUGACACUGAAAAUUAUGUUUUAUGGAGAAAGACUAUGAAAAUAUCUCUUCUAGGAAGAAGUAAAUUGGGGUUUAUAGAUGGGUGUUUAAAAAAAAUUAGUCAGUGUAAUUGUGGGGUAUUUGAAAAAGAGUAAUAUAAUAGCAUUGUCGUGGCUUAUGAAGUCUAUAUCUAGUAGUCUAAUUAUGGGAGUUGUGUGUUCUUCAAAUGAAAGUAAGGUUUAAUAAGACUUGAAACAAAUAUUUCACAAAAUUGAUGGUUUAAGAUCCUAUAAUCUUCACAAAGAAUUGCAUUUAUAACUCAAGGUGUUCUAGCUUGUUUUUGUAUAUUAUACUCUAGAUUGAAGGCCUUGUGGGAUGAAUUUGAAUCUGUUGUAUCCCGCCCCUCACCCCCUUCAUGUGAUUGUGAAAAAUUUAAAGAUUUUUUAGUAUGUUUGCAAAGACAAAAGUUAUAUCAGCUUUUAAUGAGACUAAAUGACACUUAUGCUCAACAUAAAAGCCAAAUAUUACUUAUGUCCCUUAUGCCAAUAGUAAAUCAAGCCAAUUUCCAUGUUUGUUAGUGAUGAGAGUUAGAAAUCAGUUAGUGAAUCUUUUAGCUCUGCUGAGUUAUUGGGAAUGGCUCCCAGUGUAUCAGGUGCAGUGGCAAUGUACUCAAGAAAUAUAGUUCAAAAAGAGAAAUGGUCAUAUAAUCUUAACUAUAAUCUUAACACUACAUGUGAUAACUGUAAGUUGAAAGUACACUGACAAAGAAAUUGUUAUAGGCUAGUGGUCUAUCCACGUGCAGGUCGUCCAAGUCGUAAUGAGAAUAAAGGAGUAAAUGAUAAGCCUAUGACUAAAAUAGGAACACUGAUCAUAGGAAAAAGCAAAUAAGAAUCAGUUCAGGUGGAUACAAUGUAGUUGUAGAAGAGGGGGAUACUCGGUCUUCUCAGAUUAUGACAGCUCAGAACCAAGUAUAGAAUUAUCAAGAGGAUCCUAGAAAUACUUGUUAUCUACAAGGGAAAGUAAAUCAUGGUGGUGUAGAAUGGCAAUCAAAUAGUGCAACUAAUGCUUAGCUUCUGGUUCAGGUGCAAUCAUGUUAGCCUCUGUGAUUCGCCCCAGAACAAUAUCAACAAAUCUUUAAAUGCUGAAAAAAAUCAACCUGUGGCAUCGACCAAUUUAGUGAAAAUUACAGGUAACAGUGGUGCUCUGGUGAUCACAGAGGGUCCACAAUAUUGAAUCAAUUAGACAUAGGUGCCACUACUCAUAUGACUUCAGUAAUUGAGAUACUGAAGAAAACUUCAAUUACUAGAUUAAUAUUCCCAAAAGAGUACACUUACUGAAUGGGAACAUAUCCUUAGUAACUCAAACUGACGCUAGCGGCGUAUCAGAUAAAAGCAUUGUUAAAAAUGUUCUUCAUGUACCAUAGUUUAAAUUUAGUUUGUUGCUCGUGUCAAAGGCUACUAAACAACUACAAUGUUAUGCUACUUUUUUCUUGGCUUUUGUAUUUUUCAUAAUCUCUGCAAUGGGAAGGUAAAGGAUAUUGGUAGAGAAAAGAUAGGUUUAUAUAUCUUAUCAGUUAAAGACAGUGGUGGACUCAAAAUUUAGGAGUCGUGGGUGUCUUAAGGAUGUUCGAACACAUAUUGACACCCAAAGCUGAAAGUUUUCACUUGAAAACUAAGUACCAAACUAUUUUCUUGAUUUUUUGAAUGUUUUUUUGACUCUUAUAUAAAUUUUUAUAUGUUUUUUAUAUAAUACUACCUAGUCUGAGUCAAAUUUAAUGCGUGUCAGAGCACCACAAAAGUGCACCUAGAUCCGCCGCUGCUCAAAGAUUAUUAAAAACCACUAAGAAAGUAGAAUUUCUAAUAGCAAGAGCAGAUAAUACAAAUCAAAAUAAAGCUAGUAUUAAACUAUGGAACAAAACACUUGGCUAUGUGCCAUCUCAUACUCUAGACAAGCUAUUUCUUGACAAGGAAAGUAUAUAUAAAUACAAUAAUAAAUGAACGUACAAUAUGUCCUUGUGCUAAGCGGACUAGGAAUUCAUUCUCUAGCAGUAUUUCUAGAAGCUUAUAUAGCUUUGAGCUAGUCCAUAUGGAUUUGUGGGGCCCUUACAAAGUUGCUUCUUCAUAAGGUUAUAAAUUCUUCUUGAUUAUUGUUGCUGAUUUUUCAAAUUUACCUAGAUAUUUUUGUCAAAAUUGACGUUGGUGUCUAUACUAUGCUUAAAUAUUACUUUAUUUAUGUUUAAACUCAGUUUUAUGCAUGUACAAAAACAAUGAGAGCUGAUAAGGGAAUUGAGUUUAGUAACUCUUCCUUUGAUGAAUUAUUUAAUAAUCUAGGUAUAGUUCAUCAAUAAUCCUAUGCAUAUACCCCUCAACAAAAUGACACAUCUUAGAGAAAAUAUAGACAUGUUCUAGAGAUAACUAGAACAAUUAAAUUUCAAAGUUAUAUUCCCUUAUAAUUUUGGGGUCAGUGUGUCAAGGCCGAAGUUUACUUAAUUAAUCGGCGGGCUACCAUCUAACAUACUAGGUGGUAAAUCAACUUAUGAGAAACUACACCAAAGACAUUCCUCUCUCUCUUAUAUGAGAGUAUUAGGAUGUAUCUAUCAUGCUAAUAGUACAAGAACAAGAUAAGAUUAUGCCUAGAACUAAACAAGUUGUUCAUAUGGGGUAUUCAGAAACCCAAAAGGGCAACUUACUUUAUAAUUUAACUGAUAAGAAGUUUUUUUUUCAUAGGGAUGUGGCAUUCGGGGAAGAUGUAUUCCCAUAUUAGACUACUAAGGAUCAAGAGUCAUAUUUUGUUAAAAGAUGCUUUAAGGAAUAAUGCACGUGAUUUAUUUUUUAUUUUUCUCCAACUUUUUUAUAUACAACUCCUAGUCAUAUUAGGAUUUUUAGUUUUGGUAGGAAACUGACUACUUAUUAUUUUUGGUAGCAAAUAUGUUUCUUUUAUGGUAAGUUUAAUCUAUUUCUGAUUGUUAUAGCACUAUUUAAGGAGGAGUUGAUGAUCAAUAAUAUGUAGUUUUACCAUAAAAGAAAAAUAAACUUGUCUGCAUCUCUUCUCUUCUAACUCAUCUCUAUUUUCAGUUUUUAAGAGUAUUAUUAAAACCAACAAUUGGUAUCAAGAGCCAAUUUCUUAAGGAAUCUAUGAGUGAAGAGAUGAAUUCUGAAAAUAGCUUUUCAUAAGUGGCUCCACCCGUUUUUAUGGUGAAAAUUAUCAAUUAAGGGCUGUGAGAAUGAAAACUUACUUGGAGGCUCAUGAUCUAUGGGAAGCUAUGGAAGAUGAUUACAAAAUUAAUUCGCUAUCAAAUAAUCCCCCCACAGCCCAAAUCAAGAGUCACAAGCAAAAGAAAAUCACAAAACUUAAGGCUAAGGCAACUCUGUUUGCUUCUGUUUCAACAACUAUUUUUAUAAGAAUUAUAUCUCUCACAUCACCAAAAGAAAUUUGGGAUUAUCUGAAGAAAGAAUAUACUAGACAUGAAAGAAUCCGCGGAAUGCAGGUACUAAAUUUAAUAAGAGAGUUUGAGUUGCAGAGAAUGAAAAACUCCGACACAAUCAAAGAGUACUCGGACAGAUUACUUGGCAUUGUUAAUAAGGUAAGAUUGCUAGGCAUUAAAUUUAAAGAUUCAAGAAUUGUUGAAAAAAUUCUUGUUACAGUGCUCUAAAGAUAUGAAGUAUGCAUAACUACCUUGAAAAAUACACAAGAUCUGUUCAAGAUUACUUUGACGGAGUUGUUAAAUUCUUUUCAGGCACUAGAACAAAGAAAACUUACGAGGCAUGAUGGUAUGGUUGAAGAAGCCUUAAAAUCCAAUCACAAAGCUCAAAGAAGGGGUAAAAAUGUAAAAAUUGCCCACCUUGUGAGCACUAUGAAAAAAUGGGUCAUCUACCAUAUAAAUGUUGGAAAAGGCCAGAUGCGAAGUGCAUCAAAUGUAAUCAACUUGGCCAUGAAGCAGUGAUUUGCAAAAGCAAAUUUGAAAAUUAUGAAGCAGAUGCACGUGUGGUCAAUGAAGAAGAAAAAGACCAUCUUUUUGUUACAAUAUGUAUCUCAAGUAAGGUUUCAAAAUAUUUUUGGUUGAUUGAUAGAGGUUGCACCAACCUCAUGACUUAUAACAAGAGUUUGUUUGAAGAAUUAAAGCCUACUGAAAUAUCCAAAGUUAGAAUCAGAAAUGGUGACCAGAUUCUUGUUGAAGAAAAAUGAAUUGUUGUCAUCAAAACAAGUUCAGGUAAUAAAGCAAUUUCAAAUAUUCUUUAUGUACCUGGUAUUGGUCAAAACUUAUUGAGUAUAUGUCAGCUGGUAGAAAGUAUCCUUUGAGGAUAAACAUUAUUUCAUCAAUGAUGGUGCUGGAAAAGAAGUUUUAAACAUUAAGAUGAUAGGUAAGAAUUUUUUAUUUGAUCCAAUGGAAGAUGUUUCCGUAGAACAUGAAAAAGAUCAUAGGCUGAAAAAAAUAAUCCUCUAAUUCAAAAAGCACAAGCAAUAUGUGAACAUGCUAGGUUUAGAAGCUUUCAAUGUUCCUAAAGGAAUCAAAACAAUAGAAGAGUUAUCUAUGUUUCAAAAAAAUAAAAUGGGUAAAUUCAAAUUCAAGAUGCAAAGGAAGCAGGAAGAUAUGCCAAAAGGAUUUAAUAGUUAAGGUUGCAUUCAAGACAACAAGUGAAUUUAGUUCACUACAAGCCGAAAGAUGAAUCUUCAAAUUUAUUUACAAGGUCACUUUUGGUUAUCAAGUGUGGAGAUUUCAAGACAGAAGAAGAUUAAAAUUUUGCCUUUCCUAAAGCAAAAAGGAGUGUUAAACGUUGCUUUAAGGAAUAAUGCACGUGAUUAAUUUUUUAUUUUUCUCUAACUUUUUUUUUACAUAUAACUCCUAGUCAAAUUAGGAUUUUUAGUUUUGGUAGGAAACUGAUUAGUUAUUAUUUUUGGUAGCAAAUAGGUUUUCUUUUAUAGUAAGUUUAAUCUAUUUUUGAUUGUUAGCACUAUUUAAAGAGAGUUGAUGAUCAAUAAUAUUUAGUUUUACCAGAAAAGAAAAAUAAACUUCUCUGCAUCUCUUCUCUUCUAACUCAUCUCUAUUUUCAUAUUUUAAGAGUAUAUAUAAAACCAACAUAUUUGUUUAGUUCUCUUUAUCUCACCUUUACUGAUGAACAUGAUGUACUAGUUCACAGACCUUGUGCUAACACACAUCAAUAGUGAUGUAGAUACACCUCACUUGGAAGACAAUAUUCAAUAGACAAAUAUACCACCUACACCAUUUGUUUCAGGACCUGCACCAAUGAAUGUUACUCCUACACAAGCUACACCUACACAUGCUGUACAUGCUCAAGAUUAAAGGAAAUCUACAAGGAGCACAGAUCAACCAAGUUGGAUGAAGAUUUGAUAUCCUUAAUUUGCAUGAUCAUAUGCCAUAUACAUUGUCAAACUACAUGUCUUAAAACUCUAUCUCUCCUAAAUAUUAAUCUAACCUUGCUGCAUUCUCUAAUAUUAUUUAACCUUCUUAUAUAGAAGAUAUUAAGGAUCCAAGAAGGAUAGAAUCUAUGUAGAUAGAAAUCAAUGCCUUGGAAUCAAAUAAGACAUGGUUAGUGGUUUAUCUACUCCUAAACAAAAUACCAAUUGGUUGAAAAUAGAUUUACAAAGUGAAAGUAUAAGGCUUUAACGGAAAUAGAAAGGUUUAGUGCUAGGCUUGUUGCAAAUGGAUAUAGUCAGACUGAGGGUAUUGAUUAUAAAGAAACAUUCAGUCCAGUGGUUAAAAUGGUCACUUUGGGAACCAUUCUAGCUAUUGCAGGAACUAGGAAUUGACAUAUCUAUCAAAUGGAUUUGUAUAAUGCGUUCUUACAAUGAGCUUUGAAUGAUGAAAUAAAGAUGGAACUUCCAUAUGGAUUGAAAAAUUAGGGGGAGAACAAGCAAAUAUGUAGGGUUUCCAAAUCCUUGUAUGGACUUAAGUAAGCACUUAGGAAAUGAAAUGUUAAACUCUCCGAAGCACUGAUCAACUAUGGCUUUAAAUAAAGUCAAUAUAAUCACUCUUUAUUUACCAAGAAAAUAGAAAGUGGAUUAAUUCUAAUACUAAUCUAUAUAGAUGACAUUCUCAUAACCAGUGAAAUGAUAGAGAAGAUGGAAACCACGAAUUCCCUGCACAAAGAAUUCAAGAUGAACUAUCUGGGUGAACCAAAGUACUUCCUAGGUAUUUAGCUUACGAGAUCAGGAAAAGGAAUAGUGAUGCACCAGAUGAAGUAUGCACUUGAGUUAAUAUCCAAUAAAAAACUGAGUUCAGUUAGCCUUAAAGCACACCUAUGGACACCACUACUAAAUUAACUUCUUGUGAUUAUACUGAACAUAACAAAAAAGAAGCUAAGACUACUGAUAAGCUAAUUAAUGAUAAAGGUACUUAUUAGAGAUUUAUUGAAAAAUAAUUGUAUCUUACAGUAACCAAACCAGAUAUUGCAUAUAGUGUAUAAACCUUAAUCCAAUUCAUACAACAAUCAAAGAAGUCGUACAUGGAUAUUGCAUUAAGGAUCAUUAGAUAUUUAAAGAACAAACCAGGUCAAGCUCAACUGCUAUUUAGUAAAAAAGAGGAUACUCAAAUAGCUUACAAUGAUGCGGAGUGGAUAUCAUGUGUUGUAACAAGGAAGUCAGUAACUAGAUUUGUAAUCAAGUUAGGUGAAUCUUUGAUAUCCUAGAAUUCUAAGAAACAAUCCACAGUAUCUAGAAGCUCUGGUGGUAUAGAAGUCUAGAAACUAUAGUGGGUAAGUUAAUGUGAUUAGUAGAAAUUAUCAAAGACCUUGGUAUACCAUUACAACUACCUAUUAACGUCUUCGGUGACAGCAAAACAACCAUGUAAAUGAUUGAUAAUCCUAUACGUCAUGAGAGAACCAAAUGUAUUGAGAUAGAUUGUCAUUUUACAAGGAGAAAGGUUCAACGAGGUUUGAUAAACCAUAUUAUAUUUCAACCACUGAUUAACCUGCAAAUGUUUAACUAUGAUCUUAGACAGAGUUCAGCAUGAAUACCCUAUCUUCAAACUUAGUGUGUUUAACAUCUUUCCAGCAUCAAGUUUGAUAGAGAUUGGGGUGGGGGUGAAGAUAAGGGAAUAAGUUAUUGAUUGGUCAAUACACUAAAAAGUUAGUUAUAGUUUAUUAUGGCAGUUAAGUUAAUAAUAUUGGUUAACUAUUAAUUAAGCUAUCCUAUAUGACUAAUGGUGACUUAAUGUACAUUAUUUAUAUAUCUUAUGAUUACUCAUUUUACAAUAAAUUAGAAAUACAAAAUAUGCUUUACAUUUUUCUUCAUCAUUUUUCUUCAUCAUUUUUCUUCUUCUGUCUUCUCUUUCUUCGUGUUCACACCAUACAAUGUUCCGAUUCUAGACUAAAGAAUAUAUAGAUUUUUUCAAAGUUGAGGCCCUUUUUAUAUUCUCUAAAUUCAUGUUAGGAUUACCUCAUCUAUUAAUGACAGAUGAAGGUACAAAAAGGGAUAAACCCCAUAUUGUGGAUGGUAAAUGAAAGCAGAUCAAAAAGGGAAAACUUAGUCAGCUUGGUUUGAAGUUGAAUCUAGAGUUAGACAUGAUCCCCAUUGGUCAUGAACUUGGGUACGAUGGGGCAACACAGUGCACUAUCUUUGAUUUCGACUUUCAGUCCAAGUAUUUUUGUAAGUCAAGCUAGUACCUCUUUGAUGGUGGUAUAUGGUAUCUCUACUAUAUCGGAGAUGACUUUGGUCACAUAUGAAGUGUGAAAUAAGGUGGGUGAAUAGAAAUAGGUAGGGUAAGGACAACUUGUGGCAUAUAGAAACUCGGCUUACAUAUUUACCAAUAAGCUAGCAGUGAAAUGUGUGCCCCUAAACUAUAUUUCUCCUUCACUACAACGGGGUGAGAUUAUGGAUGAAUUGAAAAAGGAUGAUAUUGAGAUAGAGAAAGCUAAGUGAAUUCAAACUAUUAUUCUAUAUGUAGAGGGGAGUCACCCACAAUUAGGGUGUAAGGCUAAACUAGCCCAAAGAUACUGUUACAUAGUGUGAUAUUGUCUGCUUUGGAUCAAGCCUGCAUGAUUUUUCCUAAAAUGUAUUCAUCACACUAUUAAGAAACCCUAACACAUUAUAUGUAGCUUCCCGAUCGUUGUAGCUACCAAUGUGGACUUUUGUUUGCACAUCCAACAAUUUCCCCAACUCAUUAAACCUUGACUUUGAUAUCAAUUGUUGUGCUAAACCAGCCCAUAGUCACUCUUACAUGAUGUGAUACUAUCCACUUUGAGCCAAGUAUGCAUUCUUUUCCUUGAAAGGCCUCACACCAUUAAGAGAUAAUAUACCUUAUACGUAGCUUCCCAAUUCUUUCAGCUAAUAAUGUAGGACUUUUAUUCGAACACCCAACAUGGGGAAAUGGAGCAAUAUAUUGCAGCCAAUUCUAAUUUUGUAUCGAAAUUGAAGGUGUUCUACCAUAAUGAUGUUUACCUUGUUCGUUUCAAUGCCUUGGACAAUUGUGAGGGUAAGUUCUCUAUCAAUAAUAGAGGGCAAGUAUUAGAAACAACUGGUUUUACUAUGGGGAAAAUUCGUAAUGUUUAUAUCGAUCUUUUAUGUGCCUCUACAUCUAGCACAGGGUAGACCUUUGAGCUCUACUUUGGCCAAAAUUCAAUUUAUAAUAAACCUAUUAUUUUCCGAGUGUGAACAUUAGAACUAUGCUGAUUUAGGUCUAAUUGCCCAACCUACCAUAUUUGUUGCUGGGGAAGAGAGACAAGGAGGUUCAACUAUUUACAAAUGGUGCACCAUAAUUUUGAAAGAAUUUCGUAUGCUAGGUUACUAGUGCACAUGGAUGUGACGAUGAAGGAGGGGAAGGAGCUAUAUUAAUGUCAAAAGAACCUAGUGGGAGGAUCUUUUGGGAUGAAGUAGUCUAUGACUUGCUUAGGCUCAUUUACUGCCCUAUGAAUAGUCGAUCCUACCACUUGAAACAUCCCGACUUCCAUUCUCAACAAAUAUAAUAUACACACUAUUUACUUGCUCAUCUAGAAAUAGUUAUCUUUGUUUACUUAUUUUCACACUGCUCUCAUGGAGAUAUUUCUAGCUCUCGGAGGACGGCCUCUAUAGCAUGAUUCUUAGAUCUAUCGAUCCUUGUUUAUUUGCUUUCCAUUUAUAUUUAUCAAUUAUUAUGCCUCUAUUGCUUAUUAAACUAGAAAGACUAAUCAAACCACUAGUAAAUAAACUCAAAAUCAAAGUUUAAUUAACAUGCAUGCUCUUGACGUCUAACAAAUUCAAUUGUACCUAUUUUGGGCAAACAAUUAUGGCGUUCAACUUUUAGUUUGAUUUUCCUGUAUGUAUACACUAAAGUGUGGUAACAUAUUUGAGAGAUGGUUUCAAAAAUUUGCCUCCACAUUUGAGUAUCAUAAUCUAAUGGUUUAAGAUUAAUAAUGAUUACGAUCCGACUUGCUUUCUAAUAUUACAUCCUUCAAUUAAUUAAUUUUAUGAAUAUCUUCUUUAAGAUUAGAGAUAUGCGGACGAACGUGGAAAUUACUCCUAUAACGUAAUAAUAAGUAUUGUUGUCAAACUCUAUUUAUUGACAGCGACAGAAGUCAAAGUGAUAUAAUCUAAAGACGCCUUCUGUUUGAUAAAUACCACCAAACUAUAUAUCAGAAAAAUGAUAAAAACUUGCAGUGGAAAGGAUUCAAAAUGCAAUUCUUCACAAACUGACAGGUGAAAGCCUCUCAUUUCAUUUUUUAUUUCUUUUCCUUUUUUGGUUCUUUCACGACUAAAUAUUUUUGCUAAAAUUAAAAUUGAACUCCUUCAAAAGUUUGUCCAAAUCGCCAGUUAGCUGGUGAAAUGUUGUAGCUUGUGAUAGUCCUUCCAUCACUUGUAGUCACUUGAAAUGAAAGACUCUGACCAUUAAGAUAGGAAUUGCUCUGCCAAUUUUGGCCCCAAUUCCUUGCCAUUGUCUGCCAUUCAGAAUCAGACCCCUUAAUAGAGACUGAAUUAACAUCCCCAGCACCCCCAACGUUUGUCACCAAAACCAAGUUAAAGUAAGAAUUUCCAUUUAUUGUGAACCUUAUUCCUCCUUUCUUGCUGCAGGGCACCCUGUGAAAAACCUCAGAGAACAUGUCAACCAACUAUUUCUUGACAACUAAAGUUACAGGGAUAAGGCACAAUUUCCUCCCAAACUAUACCUGAAAUCCCAAUUCUGUAUUUUUGUGCUUCUUUGUGAUUAUGUGAUUGUCCAAUAGCAAAAUAUUUUUGUGCUAGCUUGGUAAAAAAGUAAGUUUAGGGGUACUAGGAUCCAUAAAGUUUAAACAUGUCAUUGAGAUUUCGAGCACAGUUUGUGAGGGUACUUAUGUCUUAUCUCAAUGUUAAAUAUGUGCAAAGAAUUUUUGCGAUGAAGAUAGUCUAAUUUGUAAUUGCGGAAUUGUUUUUAAUGGAGUAUAAGAUGUUAAAUUCUUGCUUAAAACAUGUCUUUUUUUUUUAACGUUAUAUUCACUUACCGGAUGAUAAAAUUUGUACGCUAUUUAGUGCAAUCUAGUUAAUUAGUUUACGCGUUAAUUUUAUAGUUACCUAAAAUGAGUUUUACUAUCACUUAUGUUACAAAACUAUUUGCACAAUUAGCUAUAAGGUAACUAAUUAGUUAAAUAACUAUGACAAAUAAUAAUUGGUGAACUAAUAGAAAUAGUAACUACUCUCGCUGUUUUAUUUUAUGGCACAUUUUUCUUUUAGUUUGGUUUGAAAAGAAUAAUGAUAUAUUUAUUUAUUUAUGUAGAAAUAACUUAGCUAUAAUUUUUAUUUUUAAUUUUGUUCUAAAUAAGAUGAUUUAUAACCACACAAAUAUUAUAUGACUUAUAUUAUAUCACAAGUUUAAAAAAUCUCUAAUUUAUGCGAAGGUAUUUGAUUGGACAUGUAGUUUAAAAAUGAAGAAAGACUUGUAAAACAAGUCGUCUAAACCAAGCCAUAAAUAUGAAGUGAAAAUGACCUCUUACGACAACUUAGAAGAAGAAAAUUAUCUUUCAAAUAUCUUAUAUAUAAAAGUAAAAGAUCUCCUAUGUAUAAAAAUGACAUAAAAUUAAAAACAAGUUUGUAAAAGGCUAUGAAACUAAUCCCCCAAUAGUUGCGAGCUAUAAAUAAUUUCUUUAAGAGUUAAAAGAAAAGUUUAAGUUAAAAAGUUAUACUAAAUAUAGAAAGACUUCAUUUUUUUUAUUUAGAAACGAAAAAGAGUGUCACAUAAAUUGAGUCACAAAGAAUAUUUUGUCUUAAACUUGCCCUUAAUUAAAUAAAGUCAUGUAAAUUGAGAAGGAGGAAGUAUAUAUUACUACUAUAAUAUAUUAUUGUCUGUAUAAUUGAAUCAACCUAUAAUUAUUUUUUCACUGAGCUAAGAGAUGGUGAAUUUUUUUGCCUAAUGCCUUUCUUUGUUAUUUUGUAAGAUCAAAGUUACCUUACACUGUCAGUGCACAAAAUUUAAGCUCAAAACAAAAAAUAGAAGUUCACCUUCGGAAUGAAACAGGGACAAUUCCGGCUCUGUACUGAGCUAUUUGCAAGAAGGCAGGCUCAGCCAAGUCGAAGUGCUGGCGUGGAGGAUUGCACCAUCCACCGUUGUCAUUCGGCUCGGAUGGAUUUUGAGGGCAGAAAUUUGUGGCAGUGACAGAAAUAGUCCCCGGAAGGCACCAUGGAGCGUCAUUGCUGCAAGUGAGCUCGUAGCAAGAUCCACAUGCCAAGCCAUUGUUGAAUAGUUCUGUGCUUAGUGCUGCAGUGUUGGUUCCAUAUCCUUGGCUAUACAAAUUGCCAUAACCACAAGCACCCCCUACAUACAUGCUCCACAACAUGAUGUUUUUUUAGCCAAUUUAACUUCAAUAGUUUAUAUAAGUACAGGAAACCGUCCAUAAAACAUUGUCCAUAAACCUCCUACGUGCUAUAAACGAGUUCAAAUGCAGCAAUAGCUUAAAAUUAUUUAUAUUGUCAGUGUAAUAUUUUUUCAGUUGCUACGAUUAAGUAUGAAUUAGUUUAUUUAUCAUGAGUUGGAUCAUUUACAAAGAAAACAUCACUUCUUUGUUUCAUUAAUACUACUCUGUUUAAAAUGAACUUCAUUUUCUAUAUCGUUUUAAUUACAAUAUCUCACAUCGCAUGUUCAAAAUCACAAGAUUUAAAGGAUAUUUUGAUGCAUUAUACCCAUUAGUUUAAGACCAUAAAAUUCAAAUAAUUUUAUUUUUAAUUUUAUAAACUCCGAGUCAAGUAAAUUAAGACUGUAAAAUAAAGCGUAGGCAGGGACGGAGCCACCUUUAGCUCAGGGGUUCAUCCCAAUACUCUUUGAUGGAAAAUUAUACUAUUUGUACAUGAUUAAAAUUAUGUUUAUAUAUAUAUAUAGUUGACGUUGACCCCCUUUAGUUAGUUUAUAUAUUUACUUCUGAAUCCCUUAGUAAAAAUUGUGGCUCCGUCACUGAAUGUAGGGGUAGUAUAGGAUGAAAAGUUAUAAAUCUUUUGAACAUACCCAUUGUACCAGAAGCAUCACUCCCUCCAUAGAAGGUGGCAUGCGCACUUUGCCAGUCUCCAUAGUCGGCGAAAGACCCAUGGAAGCAAAAGCUUAAUAAUGAUAACAAUAAGAGGAAGAAGAAAGCAAAAUGUGUGAAGAAUGUUGCAGGAACAUCCAUUAGUGAAGAAGUUGAGAGUUAAUUAAUUAACGAGGAUGAGAGAGUAGUAAGUGGCUUAAAGCUAGUAGAAGGGGUAAGGAGGCGCUAUUUAUAUUUACAACUAGUGAACUUGAAGCAGAAAUUGCUGCUAAAGAUAUGGUAGGCAAAAUUGAAGUAUUGUAGAUAGUGACAAAUUUAGAACGCUGUCUUAAAAGCUGCUGAAACUUUUCUCCUUCAAUUAAUUCUUUUUGUUUUCGGUAAUCUUUCAAUUAUUUGUCUCUACGCUAUUUUCUCCGCAUUGUUUCACUUGUCUACUUUCGAUUCAAGUAAAAGUGAAUGGAUAAAGUAUUUAUUUAUGUUAUUUAGUUCUCCCUUUUGUUCCUUUUUAUGUCCCUUAAAUUUGAAAUAGAUAUUUUUUUACUUGUUCAUUUGGCAGAUCUUGAGACUUUUUAUUUUCUUCCAAUAUUAUUUGUAUUGUUACGAGAGACUUGAUUUGAUUAUUCGUAGUUAGGUUUAUACAUAUGCUUUGUUUUUCUAAGUUGUGUACUUUAUAUUUUCAAUUUUUCAUCACCGUCAUGGAUAGGACGAAAACUCCAAGUUAAUUGAAGGAAAUAUGUCACGACUAGAACCAGGGCGUAGUCGAGAUAGGUAUCUCCAAUCCACCAUGAGCCGAUGACCACCCCUUAGCCUAACCUCCAGAGGACAAUAAAAGAAUAUAGCGAAAGCCAACCAAAUACCAAUAAGAAGACUAGGUAAUUCAAAUGGAAAUUCUAACAAUCCGAAGCAAACAAUCAUCAAUAAUCUUAAUACUUGUCAACAAAAGCCUCUAAAAUCAAAAAUACCAACUAAGUCGGCACAUGCUCCCGACUAUGACAUAAAGGAAUUCACAAUUCUCAAAAUAUGAAAAGAAAUCUAAUGAAAUGACAGGGCUUUUCGAAAGAUGGAGGCUCACUACUUUACAAUAAAUCAACCGAUGAAUCACACCACCUAAUGCUGCACAGAAGAGACAGAAAAGUCCUCCGAAUCUACAUCAUGAAAUAAUGCAACAUCCAAAGAUGGUCAGUGGGGCUAACACGGACAUGUAACUUAGAGAAAAGGGAUAAACUAAUGCCAUUACCAAAAAAAUCAGUCAAAAUCACAUGCACAACAUUUAUAUACAUAUAUAGGAUACCGGGAUGGGGACAUGGUCAUGAACAUGAGAGUUUAAACCAUUAGUCCGAAUUAUGUAGCUCGCUCCAUCUUAAGGUACCCACAAGCUAUAUGGGUCCGACUCCCCCGACGGAAGGGCCCCAAUGCGGGAGAGUUGCACGUACCAAGGAAGCCGAGGAAAUUCUAAAGUCACGAAGCCAUCCAAAAUAUAAAGUGUGCACCAAGCACACGGUUACACAGAACGCCACAUCGGCAAAUGUGGUUUUCACUGCUGCUGUCCCCCUACGGGGACUACACCUUCUCGGUAAGCUACAUAAUUUUUGUAAACCCAAAUUAAAAUAGUUUACAGAUAACUCAACCAUUAACCAAUCAAUCUUUAUUAAGAUAUUUUCCAACCUGAUAUCGUCAUAAGAAUAUGCUUGCAAGAUAAUUCCAUUAUGUUAGACUAGUCCAUUUAACCACUAGAUUCCCAAGUUUCAUUUAAAACCCAAAACUAUGGCCACCAAGGGCAUUCCAAACCAUUGUUAUCGAUUCAUCCUUUAAUGCAAUAUAAUAGAUUGAAAAAUAAGUUAAAUUGUGUGAAUAACCAUAUUUAAAAUCAAAAUUGUAAAGUGGGUUGAGGUUAAUACCAUUAUCAUGCCAAAAUUCAUUCAAUUUGGGGAAAACCAUGUCCUCCAUUUCAACCAUUAAAUUAAUGCACCAAUUUAGUUCAAAACCAUCAAUUAAAAGCAUGAAAUACAAAUUUAAACAUCGGAAAAACAAUUCAUGUAAUAAUCAACCAAAAUCCCUCAAUCCCAUUUCAAACCCAUCAAUUAAAUCACAUGAAUAAUGAUUAAAGAAAUGCCACAAUAUAAAAUUUAUGUUAUGGAUGAGAACAUUCUUGAAACACCAAAGAAUUUGAAGAGAAAUCAAAGCUUGGAGCUUGAAUGAUGAAUUCUCUGUGAAACCUAAUAUCCCUUGCCUUGGGAGUUAAAGAGGAAAAAGUGAGGUUUAAUCUUGAUAACUGAAGGAAAAAAGGGUCUUCAAAGUGUUUUAACUUGUGGAAAAGAGUGCGGAGGGAGGAAAAGACCAAAAAGACCCUAAUUAAAGCAUGCAAGAAAAUCCUAAAAACAGUUAUCCUGGGUAACGACUCAUGAGGUCUGACCACGAGUCUUGGCCCAGAGUCCCAAGCUUUCCCUUUAGUAGCAUAUGUAGUCCUUUUUGUUCUCUUUUAUCCACCUGAUAUUCCACAAUUUGUUCCUCCAUUUUCACAACAAAUUUAGAGCCCAAAGAGAGGAAAUUAGGAAAUCAUCCAUUUAAGCUAAGGUAAGCUAGCCUAAUAUUAUGCCCAAGCGCACACACAACUAUACAUAGUCCACCAAAGUAAUAUAGUGGCCUUAUGAAAAGCCAAGUAUUAAUCCCACAGGGACUAGUAUUAAGAAAUUAUCUUGUUCCAGUCUCACUUCAAAGAUUAAAUAGAUGCUAAAGUAACCUCAAAAGUUUGGGAAGUUAAAACUAAACAUAAACUUAAACAAGGCAAUAGAUUAAAAGUUCUUGGACAAUAAUAAGGAAAACCUAGGGUUAAAGCACUAUGAACAUCAUAAUAAGCUAUGGUAGUCCGUUGAUUAGGUUACUUAUCAUGGUUGUUUGUUCACGAGGUCGAUAUUAUGAUUAUGGACUUUUGAACCUCUCAACAAUUAUCUAACUUAGCCCACAACUACAUCGUUGAGCAGAGAUACAAGAACUAAGUCAAAUGCAUUCAUAUUCUAUCCCAUAAUUGAAGAAAAUAGGGUACUUAGGUAUAUUUCUAUCCUAAAUACAAUUCAUAAUAUCAUUAAUUUUAGUUUACGAUCCCAUUCUAUAUAUCCAAUGUUCUAUCCUAUCAUUCCUCCUUUUGGGUUCACAAUAGAAUUUGGCAUGUAUUAUAAGGAUCGUAAAUCCUUAAAAUAGUGAUAAAGAGGAUAAAUAAACAAUCAAAAAUCAUAAAUAACAAAAAUCAAUUCAAUUUAUAAUAAGAGUAAUCAUGUUUUUGCCUUAACCCAAAAAAUGAGUGUUUAGCCACUCAUGGAUGUAGCAAGAACAGUAAUGAAAUAAUCCAUGUAUAUAUCCAAUAAUAAACUAAAUAAAAGGAAGAAAACCCUAUUUCCAGCCUUAUCAGUCAUGUUUUCAUACCCUGAGGUAGUUCACCGUUCAUACACAAAGGUUGGAGUGUCCUAUUUAUAGUAGAACAAGAUUUGUUGUCGUUUUUAACAUAGGGGCAUGUCACACCCUUAUCGUGUGGACUAGGAUCCGCGGCAUGCCAUUAUCAUGCCUAGAUACUGGAAUUGAAAUUAAAAAAGGCAACCAAGGGUGUUCCAUGUCCUUAUCAUGACAUCUAGGCUACGUGGCAUGCCAAUGAGUCAAAAUUUUCCAGCUUUGCACAAUGCUUGUCCUAUGCGUUUACCCCUCAUUCCAACCUUUGUAGUGGUGUUUCAUCUUUAUUUACAGAUCAUGUAUCAUCCAUUAAUAAUCAAGAUAAAUUUACCAAACAUCAUAUAACAAUACAUACCCUGAAUUAUAGUUCAAAACCACAUAGCAUCCAACACAACAAACUAAAAAGGAACAUAACUCAAUCUAAGAGUACUAGUUUUCGCAUUUGAACUUUAACUUAGUGUUUUGACUCAAAACUCAUUAUGAACAUACCUUAAACACUAAAAAUACAUAAAUAAACACUUUGAUGCAAAUUUAUACAAAUAUUCACUCAAUAAGCACACAAGAAGUCCUCAAAAAAGGCUAAACAAGUUUGGAUAACCACACUUAGGUGCAUAAAUCCACCUAAGAUCAUCAACCCACACUUAAAGCUUUGUUCGUCCUCAAACAAAACUUCCCUUAGGCCUAAAGAUCAAGGAAUACUCCAACACUAUUACUAUGAGAAGCACAACAAAGCUAGCACUACAAUGACUACAUAGAUAGCAAGUUUCAUAGACAAACAUGUCUUGUAGAAUUGAGACCUAAACAAUACUACAAAAUAUCCUAACCUUAAGAAUUUACUCACCAAGUUGGAAAAUUCAUGCAUAUUACUCAAUCACAAAGAUCAUAUAAAUCACCUAAAUAUCAUCAAACAUGUUCCUUCAUAACAAGAGUGUUGCCCAUAAUCACUCACAUAGAUACAAUUAUCAUAAAAAUAGGUAUAAGGAUCAAAUUACAUUCACUCUCAUAGAGAAUUCACAAGUUACACAAGAUGAAACAUAGGCUUGCCCUUAGUGUAGUACUCUACUAAUUUUAAAAUGUUAAGAAUGAGGAUCAAAGAGGACUUUAAGGGUCUUAAUGUAGGCUAAGGGACGGGUAGGAACUAUUCCGGUCAGUAAUAGUGACUAUCUCCACUAAGUGUUUUAACACAUCACUUUAUAUAUUAAGAUCUUUCCUCAAAAACCAAACUUCCCCACAUCUAGCUCACACUUUCUUUUGUUUCCCCCUCUCUUUUAGCUAGUUUACGCAUACAGUAGUUUUAAUUUUACAUCAACACAUAAUUCAGUUUUUCACUUUUCAUUACAUCACUCCCACUCACAUCACAUAAAUUUUUUAACACCACUAGUUACUUCUUUAGGGCUUCACUUUCACCUCUUUUCCUUAUUAAUUUCACACUAUUUAUCUUCAUUAAUUUUUUUCAUCAAAAGAACUUAGGAGCUUUAGAUCAAAUUAAGGUCAACCAAAGAAGGGGACAACCUACAUAUGAGGCUACCAAAGAACUAGGCUAAGGCUCAAUAGGGCUAACUAAGAUUAUGUAUAAGGGUAGGUAAACAAAGGUAUAAACAUGGAUAUCAAAAAAUUGCAUAUAUUAUCUCCUAAACCCAUACUCUUUAUUUAUCUUUUCACACACACUAGACAAGUUCUAAACAUCAAUAUGUGAUGAUUGGUGAAUUUACCACUUUUGCUCUCAAUAAUUAUGCACACUACUAUGAUACGGAGGACAAAAUGAGACAUAAUUGUGAUUAAAUGCACUAAUAUCCACAUUCUAUUGGAACAUUAUUGAGGAGAUAGAAAGAUGUGGAUUGGAGCUAAAAACAAUCAAAAGAGUGUAAAGAAGUGCAAAUGAAGACCUUGAGUAGAACUUGGCCUCAGUUAUCACGAUCGUAGUCCUUAGACCAAGAUUGCGACCAGUCAAGAUAAUGCAAUCACAUGGCCUUUUUCACAAUUGUAGUAGGCGCAAUUGCAGCCACACUGGUGCAAUCACGACCUAGAAAAAAAUCAGCCCAAGGGAAAAGAUGUAACACCCAUAGCCAUUGCCAAAUUUUCCAUAAAGAAGACUCAAACCAUAUCAUUCCAAUGGAUUCUACUUUUUCUACAAUUACCAACUAUUGAACAUUGUUCUAGCUCUUAGCCUCCUUACUUGGAGAAGAAAACAUUGUAUUAAUUUUGGCUGAAGAAUAUAUUGGAGUAGCUUCUAAGAGGAGAGCUAGAAACCUCCCAUUGAAGAUUCGCUUGAUUCCAAAGUUUGAAGUAACUUUCCCUUAGACCUAUAUGAAUCAAAUCAAUGAAGAUUUUAGGUAUACCUUUACUUAUCUAUCUUAUGAGCAGAUCUUAUUUCCUAUUGAGAUUAUGUAUGAAUUAGGUUAAAGUGUAUAUGGGUUGUAUUGUUAGUUUCAAUUAGUAGUUCAUGCUGAUGGGUUUUGCAAAUGCUUGAUGAUGAUAUCGGAUUUGUUGGUGAAAUCCUCAAAUUUUUGAACCCCCUCAACAUCCUUGCCAAAAGGAUGUGGGUAACCUUGUUCCUUCAACCAUUCUUGAAAGAGGGGUUGAAAGUGACAUGAGCAUUUAUGAACAAUUACUUAGAUUAUAGUUGUUCCCUUUUUGUUAUCUUAGAAAUAAGGAUAAAUGUAGAAUUGCUAUGUCUUAGGCAUCAUCCUAGAAAUAGGGAUGCCUAAAUUGUGGUUUGGUUACCAAUUAUUGAACACACCCGUUUGGUUUCUAAAAGAAUCAAUGGGUGAUAGUUUGGUGCUUUGUCAAAAGGCUAGUACUAACACCCCUAACUGAACCUACCCACAUUUGAUCUACUAGAAAUAAAGUUGAUGAUUUAAACCCACAUGUUAGCUUUCCUUAGUAAGGCAAAACCCCAAUAUCCAUGUCUAAUUGAGUAGACUAUAAUAAUACAUAGCCUGAAGUUGGUACUUGAAAAAAACAUAAAUAAAUAUUAGUGUUGAUACCUUUCACACCCCUUAUUUUUAUCCCUUUUUUACUAUUGGUUUAAAUUUAACAAGUAUCCAUUAUUUUAAAUUAACUUGAUCUCUAUUUACAUUGUUCUUUGUGGAUUCAACUCCCACUCCAAAGUGGGGUAAAUAUAUUGACGAGACUGCCUUGUACUUAAAUUUAUGUGUAAGUUGAGCAUCACCAUAAAUGGUGCCGUUGUUGGGUAACAAUUUGGUGUAUCAAGCUAGUUUGGAUUUCUAGCUUACUUGCUUGAAUUUGAACUAGUAAACAUUUGUUUGUGAUUUUCUUUUAUUUCUUGUGUUAGGUAGAUUUUUAUUUUUACUUACUUUUCUCUAUGCCAUCUUUCGACAAAUAUAAUUUUGGUAGUUGGAAGUCCUAUCUUGACGAUCCAUGUCUAUAUUGUGAUGGAUCCCACUUUGAGAGAGAUUGUAGAUUUUAUCCUCGAAGAAAAAUGAAAGCACCAUCUCGAUCUUAUUGGGAGUAUGUUUGUUCUUUAUGUGGUGGUCGAGAAGGACAUUGAAGUGAUUGUCAAAAUGCCCCUCCCUUUAUUAUGCUAAAACAAAUGCUAGUUCUUCUUAUGAGUUUGCUAGGUUUUAUAAUGAGAAGAAGAAAGAGCAACAUACCGGGUCCAAUAGUUUGAAGCAAUGAUUAAAACUAUCUUAGAUUGGGUAACUACAACGGGGGAGAACGUGCAAGACAUUCAAUAAUCCAAUGAGGAAUUUGGAAGGGAAAUUAUCAUGAUGAAGGAAAUAGGAAAGGAGACAAACCUUGCAAAUACCACUACCUUUCCCACUUCCUAAGAGGAUAUUAAUCAAGAAGAGAAACUAACUGUGAUGAUGAUCUUGGUAGCAAAGAACACUCAGUGAUUUCCCAACCAACCUAACAUCAUAUGUUUGAAGAUACCAGAACAAAGAAAAUGAUACUAGAGUGAAAAGAACAAGCCAAGCAAAUAUCUUAUGACUACUCUAGUUCAUUUUAAGGCAAAGGUGCUGAUAGGAAUGUAAUUUUGGAAUUUAGGGAUGGACCUCACUCAGACCAAUUUUUUGCAUUGUGCUUAGAAGAUGUGAUGAGAAUCUAUCCACCUAGGCAAAUGUUGGAUCGUUGAGAAAAGGAGUACCAUCCCUACAUUUUGGAAUUUGACAUUUCGAAAGAGCACAAAGAAGCCCCACCAUCUGAGGCUAGGGAACUCAACUUUCGAUAUAUAACUAGUGACCUAUUAAUGUCCUAACUUUUACCCAAGAAGCCGAAUAAAAAGUUUGAUAAAAAAUUGGGUCAAAGGUUAAUAUCUUCAAGGUGGCGAGAUAAAUCCUUUCUCAUCACGUCCUCACAUCUGCUAUUGUUCAUCUUGGAAGAUCUAAAUCUUUUGUCCCUCUAUCGCUCAAUGCAUAGUGAGCAAAAUUUGGGGAUACGGUUUAAAUUUUCUAAGUGGAAACGUAAAAAUAAGUUGAGGAGGUGUCAUGCCGUGAUGUUAAACUAAGCUCUCAAUAGAAGGUACCCCAUCAAGCAUGAAAAGUGGCUUAUAUCCAUUUAUUUAUACAUGAUAGAGUAGAUUUUUUUUUUGUUCAUGCAUAAUCCGUGAAAAGGUGGUACUAUGAUAAGUGUUGACUGAAAUUGAAAAAGGGAAAGUGUGAAAUUAUCUUGUUUUAAACUUGACAAGGGAAUGAAGGGUACAUAAAUUUUGGUCUUAGUUACCACGAUCGCGGCCCAUGUCACCAUGAUCAUGGAGGUCGCAUGUCUACGAUUAUGGAACUAGGACCGCGAUCGCAGUAAAAUCAACUUAAAUAACCAUCCAAUUGCCAUUCUCCCCACAAAUCCUUUUUCAAUUUUUCUCAAAUUCUCUCUAAGUUUUGGAUUUGUGAUGAUUGUCCAAGUGUUUAUUUCAAUCCAUUUGCAUCAUCUAACUUGGUACUAGGUUGAAAAGAUGGGAGACUUUGACAAUAAUAGGUUCAUGGCCAAUGAAUUUCAAAACCUUUACUAUGGUGGCCUGCAUAAGACGAAUUUACACCCGAAAAGGGGUAUUUUUAUAGAUAAUAUGGAGGAGAAACUCCUGGGAUUCUAUGCCAAGAUCACUGAUACUGAGUGGAUGUGCUUUACCCCAAACCCCUGCUAUGAUAAUGAGCAUUGGGUACGUAAGUUCUACACAAAACAUAGCAUAGUUUUCUUACAAACCUAGUGAUGACAAUUCAGGGAAAGAAGGUAAACUAUAGAGCAGAGUGGAUCAAUGGGAUAUAUGGGCUCCAGGAUGCAGAUAUGACCCAGUUUUAAGCAACAGGAUGCUAGCCAAAGACUUUGAUAACAAACAUAUUAUGUCCUUACAAAGAAGUUCUCUGGUCCAUCACCAAAAGAUAUAUUUCUAUGAAUGACUUUAUAGCAGAGUCUAUGCUUUGGCUGAACAACAUCUGCAGUAGAGUAUCUCUAUGAACACAUAUGACUACCGUCAUAGAUCUGGGAGCUUUAAUGGUGGCUUAUAUCCUAUUUGGUAUUUCUCUAAAUAUGGGAAAAAUUAUGAUCUCUGAGUAGAGACAUUUCAAGAAUCAUAGAGGUACAAUUCUUCUCUUUUCUUCCCUUAUCACUAAGCUAUGCAAUAGGGUAGAGGUAGAGGAAUAUGUUGUAGAUACCUAGGUUCACCCAGGCCCCUGCAUCUUUCCACUAAAAUCCCAAGGGAGGGUGCCCCUGGUCAGAGCAAGAAAACAAAGAUGAACUUGGUCAAGGCAACACAGGAGUACCCAGACACUUGUAGACCUUCUUUAGAAAACCCUUUUGAUAAGAUCUUAGGACAGCUAUAAGUGAUGAAGGAGCUAGUUUCUAAACUGCCUCAGGGACCGAGGGAGCCCUCCACUGCUUGCUACUUAUAUUUAGAUCAAUCAUAUUAUGAGAUAUAUUAGGAGGAGAAGAAGAAGCAAAAGACAAUAAUUGCUAGAUUGGAUAGAGCCUAUUUAGACUUGGCUUAAUCACACAGGGACCUUAAGGAGUCACAUAACAAGAUAAAGAGAGGGGGAAGAAGAGGGACAAAUUUUUCACUAAUAUGUGGAAAGGGGUCAAGGGCCUUUGGAAAGUCCUAAAACCCUAUUAUAUAUUUACUUCUCCGAGGGUUGAUAGUGAUGAUGAGGCCUCUGUUAAUUAGUUAGCCAAUGAUAUUGGUGGUGAUAGUGUAGAUUUAGUGGGAGAGAAAAGCACCUGAUGCAGAUUCAGGGACACCCCUUACCCUUUACAUAUGAUUUAUUGUGUACGCAGUGAGGACACUGCUUUCUUCUCACUUUGGGGUGCCUUUCCCUAGAUUUGUAUUAUUUGGAUAUAUUUCUAGAUAUUUUAUGUUGUUUUGAUUACAUUCUGGAUGUUUUAUUUUGAUUUUGGGAUGCUACAUUUGGGCACUCUGAUGGAGCCCAUAUUUUCAUAGAUUAUCAUUUUGUUUUGUUUUUAGAUUUUUUGUGUUAAUUUAGUUUUAGUUUGAUUAGGAUAAUGCAUAAUGAGCUUUGACCUAUGAUAGAUUGAGUGAUGACAUUCCUAAAGGUAAAGUUUCAUGUUUGGGUGUUGAAUUAUAGAUUCAGGGAAAUUCUGAGUACCUAUGUUAUCAAAGUCAUACAUGCUAUUGGCAAAGUUUGAGUAGCCAUAUGGUUGGUUCACCCAUAUUAAGUAAAAAUAUGAGACUAAGGUUUCGUUCGUUGCCAUAAGCUAGCAAAUUAUGCAUAGUGCAAAUGCAAAAUAAACAAACCACUUCGUCCAAAACUUUUUCAAAAAUCGAGGGUAUGGACGUGAUCAAUGUUGUAACAAAACUAUGUCUCUUUUUGUGACUCCAUAAUUUUUGACUUGUAAAUAUUGAUAGAUACUCCAUUUUUGAAUUGAAUGUGAGGGGCGAAUCAAGUCUCCUUGGCGAGUUCACAUGCCACGUGCAUUGAGAUUAUUUGUUUAAAUCUCAGGUAGAAUUAUGUCAUCUAGAACUUGCUCCAUUA
This 86658-nucleotide long non-coding RNA is filed under the name Capsicum annuum. Its description in RNAcentral is "long non-coding RNA (CANN_LNC010145)". The record is from RNAcentral. Lineage: Eukaryota; Viridiplantae; Streptophyta; Magnoliopsida; Solanales; Solanaceae.